RNAcentral lists this long non-coding RNA (60917 nucleotides) under Setaria italica (foxtail millet). RNAcentral's name for it is "long non-coding RNA (SITA_LNC006399)". The record is from RNAcentral. Lineage: Eukaryota; Viridiplantae; Streptophyta; Magnoliopsida; Poales; Poaceae.
UUAUUGAAAACAUAGAAACUCAUCACCAUGACAUUAUUUUAGCAUUUUACAGCCAAAAUACCACAGGAUCCUGACGGACGCAUGCUUUUGAUACUUUACUAGGCACCUUGUAGUAUCGAACCCGACGAUGUCGAACCCUUAAGUCACCCAUCUUGUCGUACUUGAGGGAGAAGGUCAUCAAACGAUACAUGUAGCGCCUGCGUUGGGGCACACAUGUGCCUUCUGGCUUCUCAAGCAGCACCUGAUCAUCUUUGUCUUCCUUGACCUCCUGACAAGCUUUGUCUUCCUCAACCAAGACACACUCCACAAGGCAGAAUUUGCGCUGGUAUCCCAAGUAGACGAGGCUAGCGCUUACAUGCUUAUCAGCUGGGUUCUUGCUGAACACCUUCUCCUUGCUGCGCUUCCAAGCAGGGGGGCGAUUGCUGGUGUUGGGCACGUCGCAGGCGUAGAUGUACCCAAAGGCCCCCUUGUCCUUGGAGAGCCCAACCAAGGCGCUCAGUUCAGAUUCAUAGUGUCCACGGCCAGUGAAGGGCAAAAUCCACUCACCGAGAUAAUUCCACGCACAGACUCCCUUUUCGAAGCUGGUGCCCGUUUCGAAGCUGAAUGUGGCCGCAGCUAAAUCUUCACUCUUGAUGCUGAAGAGGAUGGAAUGUCCAUGGCUGUGGGGGUGCAUGGCAUAGGAGGUGACGUCCAUCCUAGAGAAUGGCGGCAAUGGUAGCUGGUGCCAAAACCAGCGGCCCUUGCUAUCAAUAUCAGAUCUAAAAUCAUAUUCUUCCAGCGGUGAGUCAUCACCAUCAGAUUCAACAUCAGAUUGUUCCAGCGGAAGACGGCAGAGCUCCAAGCAGCCGGAGUCCAGAACGUAUAGCCUAUCGUCACCGACGGGGAAGUGGAUGGGGAAAGCCGGAGCAUUAAACUCAGGACCUGAGAAGACGCACCGCGUGCGGACGUCAAUGAUCGCGCCCCCCCCCCCAUGAUCUUGGUGCCAAAGGCGGACGUGAAGUGGUGGGGAUCCUCACGCGGCUUCACCACGCGCCAGAAAAGAGUCGGUAAGCCCUGCACAGCGCCUUCGCCUGAGUCGGCCGGCAACGAGAACUUGCGGAUGCUGUAUCCAGAGUCCCAGUCAUCACAGACAAGGUAAAGGCGCGGCUGCCGAGGCUUCGCCGUACUGCCGCCAUCACGUUCACCGCACGGCCGCUUUGGCAUCCUCAUUCCUUGCUCGCCGCCUUCUUGUUCUCGCCGCUUUGGCCGGAUUAUUACUCGUGGAUCUGAUCCCUGCUAUUUGAAUUUGAAGAAGCAUCGAUUUUAAAAUAGAAACCAAUCAGUCCCAAUCCUCCUACCGCAACUCAAUUCACAAAUCCAGGGCAACGGAGAAUAAAAGAGGAUUACGCACCUAUACAAUCGAAGAUGGUGCAGCGGCGGUUACGCACCUAUACGAUCCAUGCAUUAUAAAGGUAUAGGAAACCCUAGGAAGUUUCCGGUGGCCGCUGGAGCUGGAACUCAUGGGCCGUUAGCAAAUUGGCUCCGGUUAGGCCCACGGAAGCCCAGUGUACUGGAUCGAGUGUUGCACGACCCAUCAGCCAUCGGUGCAUCACCUGACGCGACACUCUCAAAAAAAAAAAAAAAAAAACUGAUGCAACAAAAACCUGUCGAGAGCAAAACAAUCGGCACUUUUUGGCCUGAUAGGUUGGCCGCACCGAGCCCCAGCCAGCUCACCGGAUGCAGCAUGCAGCUGACCAGAGCAUUCUAGCACAAAGGAGAUGAAAAUAUAGGAAUCACUGUGCUCCAAGCUAAGAAAUACCACAGAUAUCACAUGAGAAAGAAGAAAAUAGUCCCUAGAGCAGUCCUAUACACCAGAGAAAAUGCAGUGCUAAACAAAUACUCUUAUCCCAAAUUCCAAUACCAGUCAUCUCAAGUUACAGAAUCUAUGUAGAACAAUAGAUACGGUUAGUAUGAAAAACGUGAACCUGCUCAUCUCGGACGCCUCGCGCAAGGACGUGGAAAGCCCACCAACGCCAUCUCCGGCAUAGCAAAACUACAGCCACAACAAACGGUAGAUAAUUAGGCGCAGGCAAAGCAUAUCUCUAAACGUAGUCUGGAUGCAGGAAGGCUCUAAAGCAAGCCGUGAUGCCACUGUCUUGAAUAAAAGGAAGCAAUAUUGAUUGUAGUUUUGUAUAUUCCUUAUCUCUCUGCCUAGAUUCAUUUACAUGGCCACAUGGAACAAAUAUUACUACCUGCAGGCGCGCAGAUCAACCGACAUAGAGAACUGACUUUCGAUGCGCCCCCUUUAAUCCCGGUUUAAAGUAGACCUGGUACAAUAGGGGGUGCGCGGAGCUUUACUCCCGGUUGGUAUUUGCAACCAGAACUAAAAGUCACCUUUUGUACCGGUUCAAAAAUCAGCCACCUGUGGGGGACCCUUUAGUCCCGAGUGAAAACAUCAGCUACCCGUGAGGGACCCUUUUGUCCCGGGUGGCAAGAAUAACCGGGACUAAAUGUCACCCUUUUAAUCCCGGUUGGUGUUACAACCUGUGACUAAAGCUCACGACACAAACCGGGAUAAAAUAGGAUCUUUUAUCCUAGUUGGAAACUCUAAUUGAGAUAAAAGAGUCCCUCAUGGGUGGUUGAAAAAGAACUAAAGACCUCAGACCCUUUUUAUUUAUCCAGGUUGGUAAUACCAACCGGGAUAAAAAGGAGUCUUUUUUCCUAGUUGGUGUUUCCAACCGGGAUAAAAAGGGUCCCCCACGUGUGGCUGUAGAAGGACUAAAUCCCUCGGACCCUUUUUAUCCCGGUUGGAAACACAAAUCGGGAUAAAAGAAUCCCCCACAAGUUAGUAUAAAAGGAUUAGAUCCCCUAUAUAGUCAGAUGUGGUGUGUAGGUGGGAUGGCAAGGAAGCUACGCGUGAGGCUUAAGGUCGUGGGUUCAAAUCCCAGGAACCGCGCACGCGCAUAUUUCGCGUGAAAAUCGCAUGACUUGUGACUUGUGACCCUCUUGAAAAGUGAAAGGAUCUCUCUGACAAUGGUUAGAUCCCAGGCAACCGGCGAGAAGAAGGCGAUCACGUCGUCAGCAUAAAGGGAAGCACGGAAUCUGAUGUUAUCAUGACAAGAGGCUUCAAGGGGCCCAAAGAGUCAGCCCUACUGAUCAUCGCAUGGAAGCACUCCAUAACAAGCAUGAAAAACAUCCAAGAGAGCGGAGCCCCUUGCCUCAAACCACGUCCAUGACAGAUUCUCCUCCCCGGCAUUCCAUUAAGAAGGAUUUUAGUGCUGGCUGUGGCCAAGAUCGUCGAAAUCCAGUUAGUCCAGGUGCACGGGUAACCGACCGCCGAAAGGAGACCCAAGAGGAAGAUCCAGUUGACCAAGUCAAACACUUUCGUGAGGUCAACCUCAAAUAGUAUCCUUGGAAUCUUCCUUCUAGCUAGGGCUUUCGCCACCCCGAGGAUGUAUCUAAAGUUAUCAUGUAUUUGACGACCUCUAAUAAAAGCACUCUAGUUAGGAGAUAUUAGCUCGUGGAGAUGCGGAUCAAAGCGGUUAACGAGGGCCUUCGAGAAGAUCUUUCCAAAGCUAUGGAUCAGGCUGAUGGGUCUUUAAUCUCCAAGAGUGGCCGGGUCUAAUUUCUUCGGGAUCAGAGUUAGGAGAGCAUCAUUGAGGUGGUGGAAGCUCCGACAAUCCAUCGAGGAUAGCGCAUUAAACGCCUUGAUUACAUCUCCUCUAAUGAUAGUACAGCACAACUUGUAGAAGUGACUAGUAAACCCGUCUGGACCCAGUGCCUUAUCUACGGGAAGGUCCUUGAUGACGUCCCAAAUCUCAGCUUUCGAAAAAGGCUGAGCUAGGUGAGAGAGGUCCAGCUGCGGAAGCCCCAAAGCCUAGAAAUCGAGAGCACAACCUUUGUCAUGAACAGUCCCUAGAACCGCGUCAAAGUACUAAAAAGCCGCAGCCGCUUACUCUUCCUUAGUCAAGAUAAAUCCGUCGACCUCAAAGGUGGCAAUGAAGUUCUGACGAUGUCGAUGGUUAGCGUGAAGAUGGAAGAACUUCGUGUUAGCGUCACCUUCAUGAAGCCAUCUCAUGCUUGACCUUUGCCGCGUGAUGGUUCUUUCCAGUGCGGCGAAGCCAAGGAACCUGAUCUUGAGGAAGUGUCAAAGAGAUUGCUCGGUCUGCAAGAGCGACCUACGAUCCUAAGCCGCCUCGAGUUGGAAUAUGACCUCCUUGGCAACUUGAAUCUGUGUGCGGAUGCUACCAACUGUCUUAGCGUUCCACUUUUUAAGCCCCUUGGCCAUUUUGCAUAGGAGAUGAUGAAGCGUUCGAAGCGAGUCGGCGUCCGAGCGUGGCCCUUUCCACACGUACUCGACCGUCUUCAAGAACCUAUCAAAGUGGGGUCAGUAGGCUUCAAAGCAGAAACGACAUUUUGUGGUGGAGGCUAUCCUGAAACUGUAGCAGCAGUGGGGCAUGGUCAGAGCACCUUGUGGAGAGAGCGUGCAACGGGCUUCCUGGGAAGAGGAGUUCCCAGUCAGUGGUUAUGAACAUCAUGUUGAUGCACUCUAAGGUUGGGUGAGUACGCUCGUUGCUCCAAGUGAAAAGACGGUCCUGAAGGUGGAGUUCCAAUAGUUCAAGAUCGUUAAGCAUCUGACCCUUGCCAAGGCAAAUGACUAGCCGUGGAAGCGACAUGGGUGUGAACAAGCGACCGUACAACCUGUGGAGAAGAGUCAGGGGAGGGUGAAGCUCCUGCCGAAGAUGGGGGGUGGAAGGGCGGUGCAGAGGCGGAGAGGCUUCCAUCGCGAACCCGCCACUAUGCCGGCGGGUGAAUCCCCUGCAGUCCCCAGUAAGGGAAGGCCCCUAGCCGCAGCCCGUCUGCGAUAGGGAGGACCGGUACCUCCUGGAGGGUGCUGCCGUGGACUCGAUGAUCUCCAGUGGCCACAUGCGCACCGCCCCUCCACGCAGAUCCGGAGGGACCAUUGGCAGGCGGUGGCCCGUUGCUGGUAGGGCUAGGAGCUGGAGCAGGGCGCCCGGGUGCGCUCGUCGACUCGCCAUUCCCACUCGCAGGGUUAGCAGGGUGUCCCGCAGUCUCGCAGAGGUCCGUGAUUUCAAUGAUGUUGCCUUGUACCAAAACAAGGUUGGGCCACAUGCGCAUCCUUCUAAAUUGGGGUGACCAUCACCUUCUCGACAGGAAGAAGGUCAAGGUGGGCACAACUCGUGAUGAUGAAGAACUCCUUGAGGUUGGCCUUUGAUUUAGUCUCUUGAGCUAGCGCAAUGACACAGUAGGAGGAUCCGAGGAUUACCUAUGCGGUACUGAGUACCAAAGUUGUGCUGACACGCCCACAAGGCCAAUGCAGAACCGGAAGUCCAUUGAAGCGUUGGUUGCCUAGUUUUCAUGUCGCCAUCGAUGGAAGGUUAAGCGAAACGACCCCUCCAGCACUGUUGCAUGGAGGACGCGAACCAUCGUGUUGGAGUCCCUGAAGAGAAUGAGGAAGUCCUUCGGGUGGUGGGGAUGGACAACGAAGGAUCCCAAGUCAACCCCAAAGUGACCAGACAGAUUGGCCUCAACGUCAGCCGUCGAAGAUGCUGGUCGGGUGCCCACGACCACAGCGACCAGUGCCCUUUCUAGGACAAUCUCAUUGCUAACGACCUCGGAAGAACGCGGGAUCACAUAGAGCUCCAGCCUUGGGCACCGAGAGGGGUGGCCAAUCGGAGGGGUGGGGGAGCGCCUCUCAAGCUCUUAGACGGAGGUGGAGCAGCGACCGGUGGUGGGGAAGGAGGGCCUGCGCGGAAAGACGCCGCCUUAGAUGCCACGAACCCGGAAUGGGGAGCUUGACGAGGCCGUACCGCACCCACCGGGGAACGCGGCUGUGGCGGCAGAGCCAGUGGUGGUGGCGGUGUUGGGGAAAGGGCCGCCUUCCCAGGAGCCCCCUGGAGGUGGAAGGUGGAGGGGAGGGCGCACGACCUGGGGAAGCAGUCAGGCGGCGGAGGACCUGUUGCACCAGGAAGGCAGCCGUCACAUCGUCGCGGGAUGAGGCGGAGCGAGGGAUGCCACGUAGAAGCGCCGGGGUGGGGGAGGGUGUUCGCUCCGGGAUAGGGACUCCAAAGCCAUGGAGGGUGUCGCUGAACGAGAAGGACGCGGAACGGCCCGCGUUCGACGAGGAUGAAGAAGAAGAUACGGAGGCCGUGAGCUCCUAGAUCUCGCGACUGGAGGGGAUUAACGGGUCUGCCUCACUAGAUUCGGGUUCCGGCAACCUUCGCAACACGCCAGAGGCGGGGGUGGCGGGGGGAACGGAGGGGUUGAGGUCCUCCUCCUCGAGCUCAACCAGCACCGACAUGGCGGGCGGAUCUUGUGGGGGUGCAGCGGGCGAGGGAGAGAAAGGGGAAGGUUGCGCAGCAGGGAGGGGAGGACGGAUCUGUGGCCAGCGGUGGCAGCGGGAGGCUGUGGACGCUGGGACUGGAGUGGUCACCGGCGGCGGCGGGGGGUGGAGCGGCGGGAUGAAGGCUCCCGAAUUGGACCUUGCUUCUCUCCAACCACAGGGAAAAGCCCUCCUCUCAUAUUCAAGAGGAGGCUUGGGUUGUAGAGUUUGACACGGACUCUACCUAUACUUCUAAAUACAACUUAAGUCUUAUCAUAACCGGAUUUGUACAAAUAUUUGACACAAUAUCUAACAUAAACAACUCACUUUCCAAUACCAAAUUAGUUGGUAUACAGUUGUACGUGCAAUUUCAACCUAGCAUCUGCUUAUGCACAUGAAAAUCUGCCCACGCGGCCUUGCCUGUUGCAGCCUGACACCAAAGUUAUAGCUUGACCCUUUUCCUUAAUCCUUAGUACGGUAGGGGACGACGCGGCCUUGCCUGGUGCAGCCUGACACCGCGCCACGGCGCCCGCCACGUUCGCCCAGCGGGUCCGCCACCUCGUGCUUGUGACCGCCAGUCGACUGCCCACGCUGCACAUGCCAUGCCAGCGGAUGUCGUGGACGUGCUUACACCAAAGCGGUGGUCGCAAAAGGCAGCGCAUCUGAGGCUUAGCCCACUCGUGGUCGUGGAUCUCUCCUUGCCUCUUCCGGGACACAGAGGAGGCAGGCGCGCAGGCAGCGGGUGGCAAGUCCGUUCGGUGGCAAGCCGAUCGAGGAUGCUAAUACUCAUCUCCAACACUUUCUUAGCCUUUGUGACACCAUCACAAUGCACGGAGUCACCGGAGAUGCCAUCAGGCUCUGCAUGUUAUUAAGAGAUGGCCCCGCCAUCUACUGAAAUACCCCAAUGAUUACAAAGAAAACAACUGUUGUCUUAAGCUCUCCUGUCCCUGAUGCAAGCCAAGAUAAGUUUGGAAUGUUCGGUACAAUAUCCUUGGUGUUCUGCUAAUUGUGCAAUCCUUUCGAGUCUAAAGCUAUUUCAACUGACUGUUUUCAUGGUCAACCACCUGCACUCGUUCUGAGAAAACAAAUUCAGAUUCAGAAUGAAACGCGUGUAAUGGUAGAUCAAACAAGAUGUUGGAACAUCACCUGGUAAAAGAAAUUGAUUAAAAUCAUAACAAGGUUGAGGCAUUUCUAUACUAGAGUCAAGCGCGUAUUGAAGCACCUCCCUGCAUACUUAAUAGGCUUGCUGUAUAAACUGUGGUUACCCUACAAAAAAUUGUAAAAACCGAUGCAUGGAUUCCAUAUUGUUGUCAAGGACUCUACACAUGAAAGCAGGAUUCACAUAAUCACAGUUGAUAUUACACAUUAAGCUAAAACAUAGAAAAGCAACACAUUAACACCCGAGUGAAAGGGGUUCGUAGAAUCACCAGUUACGAUUACACAUUAAUUUGAAACAUAGAAAAGAACACAUUAACACCUUAGUGAAAGCAUAGCAAGGGGUCCUCAUUAUAGAAGUUUGGGAGUACAGUAAAUUAAAUAAAACACAGAAAAGAAACAUUCACCUUAUUGAAAACAUAGAAACUCAUCACCAUGACAUUAUUUUAGCAUUUUACAGCCAAAAUACCACAGGAUCCUGACGGACGCAUGCUUUUGAUACUUUACUAGGCACCUUGUAGUAUCGAACCCGACGAUGUCGAACCCUUAAGUCACCCAUCUUGUCGUACUUGAGGGAGAAGGUCAUCAAACGAUACAUGUAGCGCCUGCGUUGGGGCACACAUGUGCCUUCUGGCUUCUCAAGCAGCACCUGAUCAUCUUUGUCUUCCUUGACCUCCUGACAAGCUUUGUCUUCCUCAACCAAGACACACUCCACAAGGCAGAAUUUGCGCUGGUAUCCCAAGUAGACGAGGCUAGCGCUUACAUGCUUAUCAGCUGGGUUCUUGCUGAACACCUUCUCCUUGCUGCGCUUCCAAGCAGGGGGACGAUUGCUGGUGUUGGGCACGUCGCAGGCGUAGAUGUACCCAAAGGCCCCCUUGACCUUGGAGAGCCCAACCAAGGCUCUCAGUUCAGAUUCAUAGUGUCCACGGCCCUUGAAGGGAAAAGUCCACUCACCGAGAAAAUUCCACGCACGGACUUCCGUUUCGAAGCUGAAUGUGGCCGCAGCUAAAUCUUCACUCUUGAUGCUGACGAGGAUGGAAUGUCCAUGGCUGUGGGGGUGCAUGGCAUAGGAGGUGACGUCAAUUAUAGCGAAUGGCGGCAUUGGUAGCUGGUGCCAAAACCAGUCGUCCUUGCUAUCAAUAUCAGAUCCAGAAUCAUAUUCAUCCAGCGACGAGUAGUCAUCACCAGCAGAUUCAACAUCAGAUUGUUCCGGCGGAAGACGGCAGAGCUCCAAGCAGCCGGAGUCCAGAACGUAUAGCCUAUCUUCACCGACGGGGAAGUAGAUGGGGCGAGCCGGAGAGUUCGACUCAGGGCCUGAGACGACGCACCGCGUGCGGACGUCAAUGAUCAUGUCCCCCCCCAUGAUCUUGGUGCCAAAGGCGGACGCGAAGUGGUGGGGAACCUGACGCCGCGCCACCACACGCCAGAAAAGAGUCGGUAAGCCCUGCACAGCGCCUUCGCCUGAGUCGGCCGGCAACGAGAACUUGCGGAUGCUGUAUCCAGAGUCCCAGUCAUCACAGACAAGGUAAAGGCGCCGCUUCCAAGGCUUCGCCGUACUGCCGCCAUCACGUUCACCGCAUCGCCGAUUUGGCAUCCUCGUUCCUUGCUCGCCGCCUUCUUGUUCUCGACUACCAGCGGGUGAACAAAGAGGAUUACGCACCUAUACGAUCAAAGAUGGUGCAGCGGCGGUUACGCACCUAUACGAUCCAUGGAUUAUAAAGGUAGGAAACACCGCGCAAGGUUGCACAAGCUGUCUGGGGAGGGGCAGGGCGCAAGGUUGAGUGGUUUUGGACACUUUGGGGCGGGUGGUUCGGACCGUCCAAUGAACUGCAAUUAAUAGGGAUGCGUCCAGACGUGGAGAUCAGAUUGAUAGCAGCUGGUGGCUGCUGUUUGAUAGGGGCGAUCAGACGUGAUGGUCAGGUUCGACGAUGCGGCUGGAAGACGUCAUGGAUGAGGACGGCGGCUUCAACUUGCGAUCAGAUUGACGGGUGGUCGAUCGUGAUCAAGGUGGUCGUUUCGGGCUCAAGUUGGAGCUGUAACGAUGGUGGCGGAAGCUACGGUAGACUCGGCGAGUUAUGGAGGUGGGUUGUUUCAAUAAGUGACUGGACGUCGCUGGCGGCGGCCGAAGGAGCAGCGACACGCAGCUAGGGCACGCAGGAGCGUGGACCCAGGGCACGGCCAGGAGUAUGAUCGGGUGCGGCAAGCGGACAGGCGCGCAGCUCGAGCAUUGAUCCAGGCUACGGGCGUGUUGCAGAUGGUGGCGUGCAGAUGGGAGGCCCCAUGCAAGUGCAUGUUUGUGUAUGGCCCGUGAAGGAGUUCAGUUUGGAUUUGUUCUUCACGUUUUUUUGGUGGGACCAAAAGGAACGUGCAUGUAUUGCUGGGUGUGGAUUCUGGGAUUGCAUGCGGUUUGGCUACCUUGGCAAGGCAAAGCCACGAGUCAAAGGUGGAGUACGACGACUGCAUAGAGUCGUCACCUGGUUGGACUCGGUAGGCUCGGUGGCAGGCAACAGUCUUUCCAUAGGAGGUCACGAUGCGAGACGAAAACAAGGAAACGAUAGAGCAGCGAGAGGAGUCCGAUUCUGUUGGGACUUGUGCUGUUCUAUUUUUGCCUAUUUUUGCCUCGGUUUAUAAUAACACUCUAGGAGUAUUUGGAUCUCCGGGCUAAAUUUUAGUCCCUGUCACAUCGAAUGUUUGAACACUAAUUAGGAGUAUUAAACAUAGGUUAAUUACAAAACCAAUUUCACAACCCCUAGGCUAAAUCACGAGACGAAUCUAUUAAGCCUAAUUAGUCCAUGAUUUGAUAAUAUGGUGCUACAGUAAACAUUCGCUAAUGAUGGAUUAAUUAGGCUUAAUAGAUUCGUCUCGCGAUUUAGCCUAGGGGUUCUGCAAUUAGUUUUGUAAUUAGCUCAUGUUUAGUCCUCCUAAUUAGCAUCUGAAUAUCCGAUGUGACACAGACUAAGCUUUAGCUCCAGGAUCCAAACACCCCAGAGUCUACGGGAGAUUGCAUCAAGGCAAUCUAAUCUUGCUGUUCGUGGAAACCGAAGCUUGCGGCGGUGGACAGGCGAACGGCAGGUGGCGCUCAGACGGGUCAGCAUCGUUGUGUGUGAUGGUGAGGAAGUCGAUGAGACUUGCGAGUGGCAUGGCUGUGCACAAACGGUGUACAGCGGCGGCAACAUGCGGGGAGCAACACGUGCAGAUAGCAUGAGGCGGCAGGGAUGUGUGUGUGCAGCGGCGUCCGAGUCAGGACGCAAGGAAGGAGUGCGCAGGCGGCGUGCUCCUCACACGACGUGUAGGAGGUACGUGAUCUGUGCGUACAGUACACGUGUGUGAUUGAUUUUUCGACGAUAUGUGGCAAUAGGCAGAUGGCGUCGAUGGCUUCCAAGUUUGAGGUGGUGAGGUUCAAUGGCACUGGAAACUUUGGGUUGUGGUAGAUGAGAGUGAAGGACCUGUUGGCUCAGCAGGGCAUCUCGAGGGCUCUCCACGAGAAGAAGCCGGCGAAGGUGGAGGAUGAUAAGUGGGAGGAGAUGCAGGUGCAAGCGUGUGCAACGAUAAGGUUGUGUCUCUCCGAUCAAAUCAUGUACCACGUCAUGGAUGAAAGCCCGCCUAAGAAGGUUUGGGACAAUUUGGCCGAGAAGUUUAUGUCCAAGAUUUUGACUCGGAAGUUGUACCUGAAGCACAAGUUGUAUGGGUUCAAGAUGCAGGAGGGGUCGGAUCUUGCUGAGCAUAUGAAUAUCUUCAAUCAAUUAAUUGUUGAUCUUGGGAAGGUUGACGUGAAUAUUGAUGAUGAAGACAUGGCAAUUGUUCUUCUGUGUUCGUAGUCGGGGUCUUAUGAUCACUUGCUUACUAUGCUGACAUAUGGCAAGGAGAAUGUGAAAGUGGAUGAUAUUGUUGCUGCUUUACUUUCUUAUGAGCUGAGGAGGAAGAAUAAUUCACCUGAAGAGUCUUCUGGAGUGCUUUUGUAGUUAGGAGUGAUAGUUAGGAGUGAUCGCAGUGGUGAAGAUAAGAAGGGUAAUAAUAAGAAGAAGGGGCCACAAUGCUAUAAGUGCAAGGAGUGGGGGAAUAAGAAGGCUGAGUGUCUGGAACUGAAGAAGGGUAGUGGAACCGCAAGUGUGAUGGUUGCCAGGCAGGAUGACUUGGAUAGCGAUGGUGAUGUUCUCACAGUGUCAAGUGAAAAGUCUUGUGAAGCAUAGUUGUUGGAUUCAGCUAGCUCGUUCCAUGCAACACCAAAGGAGUGGUUCUUGUCAUACAUUGAGGAGGAUGGUGGUCUUGCUCACUUGGGAAAUGUUUCGGCUUAUCGUAUCAUAGGAGUGGGUGAUAUCAAGUUCAAGAUGUGUGAUGGACAGGAGAUACUACUCAAAGGUGUGAAGCAUGUAUUGGGGCUACGAGAGGAGUCUGAUUUCGCUUGGGAUCUUGCAUGAAGAAGGAUGGUUGUAUCAAGCGGCGCCUGAUAAGAAGACCUUGAGAGUCAUGCAUGGAAGCAAGAUGGUCAUGGUUGGUGAGAAGUCAAAUGCACACCAAUAUAAGCUGAAGGGAAGCGUUGUUGAAGGUGGAGUCAUGGGUGGCAAUGCAACUAUGGCAGUGUUCUAUCCGGAUGUCGGCAAGGUGGCAACGGCCUCGUCGGGUUGUUCUAAGUGAGCAGCAAAGGAGACGACUCAAGUCUUGUAUACGGAGGUUCGCGCAUGGACAACUCAAGGUGGCGUGCAUAUUCACCAAGGUGGAGUUUGUUAGAUAUGUGUUGAAUAUGUGUAUGGUUUGGUUACAAUUGGACUUGAGUUGUAAUUUGGUAGGUUAGGGAUAGAGUCUUAGUCGUACUUUGUAUCCCUAAGCCCAUAAAUACAAGGGCACUACCGUUGUAACCGUGAGACGACUUGGCGGCUGGUGUGGGCGGCGGCGUGGCCACGGUGGUGCUUGGAUGCCAAUAUAGCUGUUGUUUAUGGGGAGGAACGCCCGUAGUCAUGCCUCGAGGAUGUAGGCACAUGGCCGAACCUCGUUAAAAAAUAUCGUGCCUCGGUGUCAUUCUCGUUUGUGUGAUCUUGGAAUUUGGUUUUGCGUUCUUAGGGUUAUCGCUUCCGCACUUUUAUUCUAACAUAAGGCAAACUAUUUGACCAAAUUUAUAGGAAGUGUAUUAACAGUUAUCACGUCAAAUAAGUAAAUUAUAAAAAUAUAUUUCAUAAUAGAUCUAAUUCUGCUCAAUUGACAUCCUAAAUAUUAUAUUAUUACCCUUUUUCUAUAACUUUGGUCAAACUAAAGUGCAUUUUUAUUUCAAUGAUGGAUGGAGUAAAUUACAGUAUAGAGUUACACCCAAUAUUUUCAAUGCUUAUAAGAUUUGAUGGAAACUAUGGAAUUUAAGCUGAUUAAUUCACUAGAUCUUGCCAUACAAUCCUUGUACUACUAAACUUAUUACAAGAAAUUUCUUUUCAUAUGAACUGCUAAUUUUUGUAUUACGUGUACAUGUCUAACUGCAACAAAAAAAAUGUUGGUUUAAUUUGUUCCUAGCUAGUAGUCGUGCCCUUCUCAGUUGUCUUUCGAUGCAAACUCCUCGACACAGCUUCCUGAACAAAGCCGAUUUAGAUCUGUACAGUGAUGAAGUGAUGGCCGAUCGUCUCCUCGUCGCCCCCGUUGAACAUUUUCAGAAACUCCAUCUCAUCGAAGCUGCCAGGCUUCUUGUAUUUCAGAAACCCGGUGAUGACGACGACAUUAUUGCAGGUUCUGCCUCGUCGCCGGCUCGCGGCGGCACUCUGCACGCGUGCAUAGAGAGCGAAUGCAUUAUACGUUGGAGUGCAUCAUGCAUGCCAGCCUAGACCCCAGAUAAGUGUCGGGUGGCUAGAGAAACCUACUGUUAAUGGCGUGGUGGCCGUGAUGCGGCAACUCCUUGCAGUGCACGACGUCGCUCCCGGUGAUCCCGGCUUGGCGAGCCCCGGAGCGUCGCUUCCUUGCCCCUUGCUUUCCCGUCGCCUUCAUCGGUGGCGGGGGCUGCGACAGCGAGACCCUGCACUCGAUGCCGCGGCGCGCGGUGAGCGAGCCGCCGUCCAGGCGCGGGCGCAGCGGCGGGGUCUGCGAGUCCGCGCUCCCGUCGCAGCACGCCGCGGCGCUCGCGAUGAUCUCCUCCUGCCUGUCGUGGAGCCAGCUGUCGUCAUGGCUAGGACUGGGCGGGCGGCGGCCGGGGCGGCGCCGCGCCGCGCCGGAGCGUGUCCUUGCAGUACGAGAUAGCGCGCGCCACGGACUCGGCCCUCUCGCGGGCCGUGUCGUCGUCGCCGCCGCUUGGCGACGGCAGCGACCCCUUGCCAGCGGCCCUGGCCUUCCUAAGCCGCCUCGAAAUCUUCCGCAGGUACCUACCCACCACGUCUUUCUUUACCAAAUGUUCCCCGUACACAAUCCUUUUCAUACUCCCUCCAUCCCAAAUUACUAUUUGUUUUCACUUUUUUAACUAUGUAUCUAGAAAAACCAAAACGAAUAGUAAUUUGGGACGGAGGGAGUACUUCGCAGCACCUCUAGUUUUACACAUGGUGACAUGGAUACAUACCAUGUGUAAAAGGAGUUGUGCCAAACGCCAGCGUUCUGCGGCCGUAAACGAAUAAUUUGCUUUUCAUCGUCAUCUCUCUAAUAAGCUGAUUCUUUCUUCUUCUUUUGAAAGGCCAAAAGGCUGAUUCUGGACAGAUGUAGGUUGCGCCAAAGGGGCCACAUAUCAUGGCAUCGACAAAACCCUAUUCAUCUCUCCUUCUAUACUUCACCACAGUUGGCGAGGGUGGUGGUUCACAGAUGUCUUUUCACUCUUAUUUCUUAUUAUAGCAACUCUAUGUCUAUAUGUAAAUUGAAUAAUUCCCAAGUAUUAAGGCAACUGCUUGUGCUUUAUCUGAAUUCCAGUUUCAGUCUUUCAGUGCAGUAUCUUCCUAGAUUGGCAUGACGCAUUUUCUCUUCGUCUGUGGGUCGCUUCAUUCAUGUCUCAUGAGAACACGUUUUGCUUUGGCCCGCCAGUCAAAUGGUAUGCUUGCUUUGGAUUCCUAUAAAGUAUAAACGAACGGGCCAGAAGCCUGGCUUCUGCAGCACCAUCGUAACAGAAUGUUCAGCACUGUUUUUGACUUCUUACCUCAACAUUAAGCCAAAUUUCCUUUCUUUACAUGGUGGUGAUAAGAGUACAGCCUACAAAAAUUAGGUUAGAACCCCUCAUCUAAAUUCAAACAGUACCACACAGAAGGUAAGAAAAGAACCGUUGCUGUACAUGGUAUCUACAAGGGAACAGUGUUCGCGACAUAGUUUGAUGAAGAGUUGUUGAACUUGGAUGAGAAAUAAUUCCUUAGUCCAUCAAAGAGCUGCCGGAUGUCGUCUACCAAGGACCAUGUCGGAGUGUUCAGGGCUCAUAUUGAGUUGAGGCACACUAGAAGGGUUCCUCCUUAAUGAAGAAGUACCUGAAAAUUGUAAUGAAGAUAGAAAUAUGAGCACAGGGGAGACAAAGGACUACACUUGCAAAUACCAUGACACUUUGCUGGGAAUGCAUAAUGGAAAUAUGUAUGAAGAACCCAUCCAAUAUAUGGGAACUAAAAUCCACUAUUCCUGUAGAAGUCUAAGGUGCCACUCCACUGUACUACCGACGGGUAUUUAUAACAUUGCAUUUAUUAAACCUACAAUUUAAUUAGGGCCCAGGUCACUUGAACAAUUGCCAAAUUUCCUAGCAAUGUAAACACAGAUGCACCUAGCCAUGACAAGAAACUUACCGUCAACCAAAGAGGAAGAAAUCCCAAGACAGAAGGAAGCGCAGCAAAAACAAUACAAGUUAAGGCCAGGGCCACACUUUGUUUGACCUGCAAGGAUAAACCUCAAAGUGUAAGAAUCAGUAAUAUUGCAUGUGAAGCUGAAGUGUCACACAUGCAAACAGUGAACAGUCUAUACCAGUGAAGCUGUUUGGCGGGCCUUAGCAAUGCAAAAAGGCACCCCACAAAUAUUAUCCUGCAACAACAGAACAUCUGCCACAGCCACUGCUGUUGCACUGGUACGUUGGGCUAGAACCAUUCCGACUGUUGCAGCUGCAAGAGCUGGUGCAUCAUUUAUACCAUCACCGACCAUUAUUAAACCUCCACCUGGGAAUCGAUACAAAGGUAAAUGAUGAAUGAACACAAGGAAAAUGUCCGUAAACAAAAGUUAUAUAACUUCGAGUUCAAGCUUCUAUGAUAUAUGGUUGAGCUCAUAAAUAGUAUAGGUUUCCAAUUUUAUAAUUUAAUGCAUAAAAGGAAUGUACCUCGCUCCCUUGAAACUGCUUUUACUUUAUUCAAUUUGUCCUCUGGCUUUAAAGAGGAAUGGACUUCAUCAAUACCAACAGCUUUAGCAACCCUCUGGGCACUUGAUUCAUGGUCUCCAGUGAGCAUCAUGAUGCGAAGUUUAGCCUUUUCUCUUAAGGUAUAUAUAACUUCACAAACACCAGGACGGGGUUCAUCCUCAAAGUGGAAAAGGGUUACCUUAAAAAAAUAAAACGAGCUGAUAUGAAUACAUGCACUUGACAUCAGUUCACUCCUCAUUGAGGGUACAUUGUACAUUCUCAAAAUCCAAAUGCUUGUUUGUCAGACAGGGAGUUACUACGAAACCUAAGGGCUAAGGCUCAUAAGGUGAUAACUUAUUCGAAUGAUCAAAUCUGUGUACUUUUUUGCAAGCAGAAGAAAUCAGCACUCUGGCAGAACCAUGAGUACAUGAUACAGUCACUGGUACAACCUUCUCUGGUGAGUGGUGACUGAACCUUUGGCCAAACAAGGUAAGGUUAUGUUUCUUUCAAUGAAAAAGCAAUCUAAGGUCACCUUCACUUGAAGAAGAGCAAGUUCAGAGGUUCUAAGUAGGACUCAAAGAAGGCUAUAAUGUCCAAACCAGCCAAAUCAUGCAUCAGAUUCAAAUUAUGAGGGCACCUGCUGAUCCAGUUUCAGAAUAGAGAGGCCCACAGGCUAUAUGCCCAUACUCCCAUAUCAGAUGGACCAAACACUAGCGUUGAAACCACCUGGGAUGUGUUUUGGUCAUUCUGACUGUGCAAUGGGAUGGGACCGUAGUGGUUCAUCACUUAGGUGGACUAGAGCAAAAUACAUGGCCAGAUACAUGAAACUUAAUUUACCUUUUUAUCAACGGAUAGAGCAGCUUGGACAAAUUCAGGCCCAUAUGCAGAAAUUUUUACUGCUUGUUUUAUUUGCUCCGAUUCACCAUUAGAUCUGUAUAGUGAAAUAUAGUCCACAGAACCAAUAGAUGCCUCGGACAGCUCAUUUUCGUUGUUUCUUGCCUGUAAUGCAAAUGUAUGAGGUGUUAAGCUAGCAUGUCAAAGGCUGACUCUUCCAGUUACUCCAUACCGACCAAACAGCAAAAAAAAAAAACAUUCAUGCUAAAUUGUUGACUUGUGAGUAGGUAGGAGAAUAUGAUAACCACUGAACAACACAAUUCCAUUGGAUGAAACACAUGCGACUUACAGCAUACAUUAAUGGCCAAUGGUGUUUCAAGUAACACACCUAAGUUGUAUCUAACACAGGUAAGUUCUUUGACACAUUGAAGAUUUCCAGAUGACUUUGCUGAUUGAAACGUAUUAUGAAAUUUACACAUACCUUUACACCACUCAAAGUAGCAGCAACUCCCCUACCAGGUAAGCAUUCAAAACUUUCUACAGCAACAGCUGGAAGCUCCUUUCCAACAGAGUGAUCUAAAACAGCCCUGUGAUCAUGCAAACUCUAUGUCAAUUGUUUGGUAUGGACUAGUCUACAAAUGUCAGUGCACAAAAGAAAAAAAAAAUGAACAGCAGAACCUAUAUUAUAUGCGCUGCAAGUCUCAAUGCAAUGCUUCAACUAGUGCAAAAAAAGACAAGGAAAUCUACACCAAGGUUGAGUGCAGUGUUUGAAAACACGCUAUUAAAUGUACACAUAGGUUCGCUUAAGCGUGAAUCGGAUCCCCAGCCCAUUAUACAAAAAAGAACAGUAGAAUCUAUAUUUUUCUGAAUCGGCACAGAUAAGCUCAUAGUGGCAUUCAUGCUAACUAGGACCCAUGCUAGUCUAGUGCAAGACUACAACUAAUGCCUCGUGUGAAAUAGAAAUUACAGCAAUCACAUGCACCGAAUGCGCCAACUAAUGCAACGUCCAAAUAAGCAACACAGAUCUGUGCCUGAGUUUAACCACAACACUGGUACAAUAUUUGCACUCGUGCAGGGAGUAGAUUCUAGCCACGCCUAGCAAGCCCAAGUAGUGGAGAGUUCUAGUUAUGAGAAUGCAUGCAAAUCAAAACAAAACAAUUAAACAGACUGACACCCAAAUGUCCAUGGAUAGGCUCGAUUGCUUUACAAGUAAGCUUCCCCGUUGUUAACGUGCCUGUCUUGUCAAAAGCAAUAGACUGACAAGCAGAAAGAGCAUCUAAGACAUGACCACCUUUCAACAAAAUUCCCUACAGGGGAACAAAAGAAAGGUUCAUCAAUCCACUAUACCAGGUGGAAACAGAGCAGCUCAUAGAAAGGUGUGUGUUCAGAAAGCAAAACAGCUGCUAUGGUGCUAUCUCCCAUAACAUCCAGGAGGAACUCCGCAGAUGCAGUAAUUGUACCAUUUGAACAAAGAUUUUUAUUAGGAUACUGUGAGCUGUACUCACUUGUGUACAAUAUGAAUCAAAUGUUUGAUGCUUUCAUGAAAUUCAUAAACCAAGAAUGUUUGUAUCAUCAAAUGAAGAGAUCGAACAACUGAAACUUUCAAACAGUACCUUACUAGCAAGAGAACUGAUUGCAGUUGCAUAUGCCAAUGGAGCUACAGCCAAUGCACAGGGAGAUGCAGCCACCAUAAGUCCUAAUCCACGGUAAAUUGAACCCCUACAAACUAAAGAAAAUGUCAGAGCACAGAAAGUUCUAGCCUGGAGCUAAGUGUAUCAAAUCAAUAAAAUUGGUCAAUCAAAAUCGACAGUAGGAAAGUUAUCCAAAGCGUACUGCAUUAAGAACUAUCAAGAAGUACAUAAUAUGUUCUAUAUACUCCCUCCACCCCAAAAAACAAGUCAUUCUGCAAUUCAAAUUUGUCCCAAAAAACAAGACAUGGCAUGUGUGCAUGUGCAUGUGGGCAUAUAGCAGUCAAUUAGCACCAAAUAUGGCUAAUAAAUAGGGGCAAUCGAGGUCAUUUCACCUCCUUAUUAAUCUGUCCUAAAAUUCCUAGGGUGACAUGUUUUUUGGGACGGAGGGAGUAAGUAGAUAACGGGACCAAUACAGCAGUGUAACAUUAGAGGAUUACCUGAGUUACCAAAAAAGGGCCACUUAAAGAGUAACGGACCCAACAGUGCAACAGCCAAAGAAAGGGCCACCACAACUCUGCUAUAGUACUCUCCAAAUUCAUCGAGCCAUCUUUGCAACUUUGGCUUGUUUAGCUGGCCCUCUUCAGUCAAUUGGACAAUUCUGUUGAGUGUUGAAUCCACCCAUGAUUUGGUCACCUAGAACAAAAGGUAGUAAACAGACAACAAAUCAUUCUCUUGCAAGGUGGCAAGGAACAAUCUAGAAGAGAAGGAAACAUAAUAUACUAGCAAAGAAGUAUUGUUACUAGCAACUACUGACUAAAACUAAACCUUUGUUAAAUCUCAAAAGGUUAAUUAGGUUCCCUUCUCUUCAUCAAAGAAAGUUGGAACCAGGCAACCAGCCUCUUCAUUUAAGGGGAAAAAGGCCAAACCUUUACAAUCAUCCUUCCUUCCAAGUUCCUGGCACCGCCUGGUAUGGCAUCUCCCACUGUCCUUUCAAGAGGUUUUGUUUCACCAGUUAGGUGUUCAAUUGUGACAGUUGACGAACCUUGGUAGACUUCUCCAUCAACAGGCACAGACUAAAGAAUAAAAGAGCUGCACCAAAAUGAGAUAAAUUUCUACCGUACAGAAUAAGAACACGAACAGCAUGAAGGGCAAAAAAAGAUAAGUCAAACCAUUGUGCUCAGUUAGAAACAAAGUAAAAAAUCCACGACGAAGCUAUGAAUUGAAAACAAAAAUAGGAAAUGCAAGGACUGAAAUUCUAUACAAGAUAUAACACACCUCACCAGUUCUGACCAAGAUAUGAGAAUCCACUUCAAGAUCAUGCACAGGAACUUUGGUGUAACUUAAAUUUGAAAACUGUACAGAUUCUUCUCCACUUGUUUCUAACAACAGGGCAAAUUCAGGGUGAUUUUCCUUCAGUUCCCUCACGUCAAACAUUGACUUACUUGUAAAAUACUCUUCAGCUGUAAGAAACAAGAACAUGAAACUUUUAAUACACACACAACAGGAGCUAACACAUGGGACUUUCAAUUGUUGUCAGAAGAAAUGUACCGAUAUGAGCCAAGUUAAACAUUGCAAGGAGCAGGCCACCCUCCAAUGCAUUUCCCAUAAAUAUAGAAGCAAAUGCAGCAAGAGCCAUAAGAACAUGGAUAUUUAUUCUUCCAUCAGCAAUAUUUACAAGAGCAUCAAGCGCUGCAGACACCUAAACAAUAAGCAAGAAAUGUUAAGCAAGCCUCAAAACAACAAAUUAUUCUGAUCUCCCUUGUUCAGGAGGAAACCAAAGCAAAUAACAGUUUCAUGUUCAAUUAAUUUCAUUUUACAUUGGCGUGACUGUCACGUCAGCUGCUGAUAAGCUGUAGCUGAAGUCUCAACAACAGAAUGGCUAAUUUUAAGCUUUGAACAAGAAUACUAAAGUUCUAUGAUAGCAUCCAAAUAGUAGCUUCCCUCUGUAAGCUUGUAGACAAAAUCACCAAUGCCACUUGAUCCCAUAAAAUUUUAUGCCAAAAAUGUUUCCAAAGGAAAGGAUGAAGCGUGCUCAUUUACAACUGAAACCCCAAUCCCAUGCUAUAAUUUCCUUAGCAACAAAUUCUCAUUGAAAUUACAGCAACACAGAAAUGACACACUCAGACACUAACUAGUUCCUCCGAAAGUGCAGGGCUGUCUCCAGGAAUCUGAGGCCGUGUGUGAAAUGCAAAAUGAGGCCCUUCAAUAUUAAAGACAUCAUGCUUUUCAGAAUCUAAAUCAUACUCCCUCCAUCCCAAAAAGAAUGAUUUUUAGGAUUUUUCAGACAGAUUAGGGGUGAACGAAAAACAUGCAUGUACCCUUAGUUCAGUUUGCAUAUAGAAAAUGAAGAAAAUAUGUUUCCAUUUAAUCAUGCAUGCACGAGAUCAACGCGCCAGAUUAUGUAUGCAUAAGAUUUAAAUCCUAGAACGCCAUUCUUUUUGGACAAAUUUUGAAUGCCAAAACAUCAUUCUUUCUUUUUAGGAUGGAGGAAGUACUUUCUAAUUCAUGUAGACAUGGAAACUAAUCUCUGUUCCAUAAACAAAAUAAAAGUAAUUUGAAUUAAAUCAAACAGCACACGUACAUGUACUAGCAGUUUUCUUAAAAAUCAAUUCAGGAAGAAAGGAACCAAUGGAUUGCAUUCAGAAAAAAACUGACCUCAUGCUGGGUCCCUGGCCGUUGGGUGUUGGCCCGAUGGCAUCUUGCGGCUUCCCGGCCACAAGGAGAUCACCGUGACCUGCAGACUGCAGUCUUGCUAUUCGUCGAUCCGAUUUUGACUCUCGAGUCUCGAGUUUGUGAUGGGAUCACAGGAAAAUCGGAAGCGGAAGGGCCGAAGGGGCUGCGAGCAUGCAACGAUUUAGUUGCCGCGCGGCGGGGUGUCGGACGCGGGCGGAUCAGAGCUCGCGAGCUGCCGAGUUUGUGCCCUAAACGAUCGAGUACUGGGCUUGGGGUGUUAAAAUCUGUGAGGCCCUUCGUUUUUUAGGCCCUGCGCGGUCGCUCACCUCGCUCUUGGCCUUCGACGGCCCUGUUCAAUUGAACCUAGUUAGUGGUGAUCCCCUGAUAUGGGGCAGGAACGUCACAACUAGCAAAGGAGCAGAGUGGCUAAGCAUUACCCCGACGAGAGGGAAGGCGACGGCGAUGAGCGUGGCCUGCAGGCACCCGACGGUGUUUAGCAGCGCGACGUGCGGGCAGGCGGCGGCGAUGAGGAGGAGGCCGAGGGAGAUGCAGCAGAGCUGGAGGUGCUCCCGCAGCGCGUCGGCGACGUCGGCCCACCCGAUCGCCCGCGCCACCCGCAUGACCGCCGCGCCCCCGCCUCCCCCGUGCGCGUCCACCCCGUGGUGGCCGUGGCCGUGGUGGUGGUGGUCAUGGCCGUGGUGAUGGUGAUGGUUGUGGCUGUGGCCGUGGCCGCCGUACGCGCGGGGGGCGAAGAGCAGGGACGGGCGAGAGGCGAAGAGCAGGGACGAGCGAGAGGCGACGAGGAGCGGCGGGCGGCGGGUGAGGGCGAGGGGUUUGGGCGGGGAGCAGCGGCGGCGGAGGUGCGGGAAGGGCGGGGUCCGCGAGAGGCGGAGCAGGUGCGCGGACGGCGUGACCGGCGAGGAGACCGAGGCGGAGGCGGUGAGGAAUUGCAUCGCGCCGGCGGCGGGUGGGGAUGGAGAUCGCUUCAGCGAGGCGGUUGACGCUGCUGCUGGGGGUGUGUGUGUGUGUGUGGGGGGGGGGGGGAGCCGGACGGGACGGGGACGGGACUAGUCCACCAGGGGUUGGACUGGCGGGCGUGUGGUGCACGGGUGCCUGCGAGCCAGGCGAUGGCGAUGACGGGCGUGGGCGCGGGGGCCCGGGCCGGGGUUUGCCUCGUGGAGUCGUGUCGUCACCAUGUCACCGAGUCGCAACAUCGUGUCGACUCUGAUUUUGCGAUUUGUAACUUGUUAAUCUACUGUACAAUGCACAAGACGCAUUUAUGUCUUUUUCGGGGAAAAGGGGCCUCUAUUUUGCUACCGCUACACAUCUGACAUUAAUAUUUCAGUGAUACGUGAAAUCCUCUCCUCUAUCAAUGCAAUAGACAUAAUCUCGUAUCGAUUCCUUCAAAAAAAUCAGGCAUAAUCUCGUAUCGGAUCGUUCAAAAAAUCAUACCUUAAAACAAACAAGUAUUUCAGUGGUAUACGUGGGUCAUAAAAGGAAUAUAAAAUAUUGGAAAUAAAAAAGAGAAAUUUAUCCUCUUCUGAUCUACAGUAACAUCAUUUUUUCAAGAAGCGAUGGCAUUGGCUGAUGCAUCUGCUGGGCCAAUGUUUCGCCAGGCACAGACAUAACUUGUGGCACGCCCUUGUUUACUUCCCUCCAAACUUCCAACUUUGACACUAUGCAAAAAGAAGAUUCUCCAUCACAUCAAACUUGCGGUACAUGCAUGGAGUACUAAAUGUAGACGAAAUCAAAAACUAAUUGCACAGUUUUGUUGUACUUUGCAAGACGAAUCUUUUGAGCCUAAUUAGUCAAUAUUUGGACAAUAAUUCACAAAUAUAAACGAAACGCUACAGUUGCGCAUUUAUGGCAAAAUGCCAAUUUUGCCUAUCCCAAAUUGGGAAGUAAACAAGGCUAGAAAUCCAGCCUUGUAGGCCCAAAACCUCCAAGGCUCAUGAAUUCUUUUAUUAUUUUUUCCCCUUCAAGACGCACGACUCUUUCCAUUUUGCCUUCGUAGCAUUUGCUUUCAUUUCGACUCUAGCAUUUCUCAGAUUGUAUUUUUAGGCUUCCAGUAAUUGCCAAGUCGAACAAAUAGCAGGAGUAGCAUUACCCCGACGAGAAGGGUAGGCGAAGGCGAUGAGCGCGGCCUGCUGGCGCCCGACGGAGUUGAGCGCCGCGACGUGCGGGCAGGCGGUGGCCACCAGGAGCCCGAGCGAGGCGCAGCAGACCUGGACGCGCUCCCGCAGCGCGUCGGCCAGCCCAAUCGCCCUCGCCGUCCGCGGCACCCGCGCCCCCGCCCGCCCCGAGCACGUCCACUACGUGGUGACCGUGGCACUGGCCAUGGUGAUUGCGAUGGCCGCGGCAGCCGCGCGUGGAGGUGUGUGGAGCACUUAAGUCACCUAACAUGCGAUAAUGUACUUUAAACGAGCUAACUCGGUCGUCCGAAAUUACUUGACUUAGAAUCAAGAAAGCACAGCUCACGUGACAAUGAGUGGUUACAGGGAUUAUAACAAUCCAUCCAGAUUAAUCAUAAUGCAUCGCAAUUCACAAUUGAGCAUAUGGUUAGCAUUUUGUACACAAUCAUAUUCCUAAUAAGAUCUUUUUUCUUUAAAAGUACAUUACUAAUUCAUCAUGCUUACUGCAUUCAGAACUAUAUUUGAAAAUUGAAAUCCAUACUGCAAGCUGAUCCGACUUCCUAUGUUUGGAGGGUUGUUUAGAUUUUUGCAACCAUACAGGAGGUGACGGUGAAAGUAAUAUGCCUAAGAGCAUAGCAGAAACAAAUAAUCUUUUUUCUCUGAUAAAGAAUUCAACAUUCAAGAUGCAAUUCUAUUUUUGUAGCUCACCAUAGGACUACAAGAUUACCAUAUCAAUAUGAAUGAUCGUUUUCUUCUUCCCUGAAUGAUCAGCAUUCGACUUUUUGCUUUUAGCUUCUAGUAAAUUUGAGAAGCGCUUUCUAUACCGGUUCCUCCAUGUCCCAAUGAAGUGCAGUCGAGAAAACUAGAACACCAAAUAAAAAUAUAAAAACUAAUCAGCAUGACCAAAAAACUGCAUGAACAGCGUAUGGGUAGAUAUCUGAGCAGCAAAGCUAGAAACAGAAGCUUAAAAAAGAUAAAAUGACAAAUUUACCAACAGUAGACCACCAAAUGCGAAAAUGAAAAAUCAAAUAUUGUUAUUUGUUCCACAGCGCCAUACCUUAAAAUAAUUUUCAACAAAAUUUGGGUCUGUAAGGGUUGAAUGUGGCCGACUAGAAGGUUUAGCUGCACUUUUCUCCAAUGGUGAGGACAAAUGGCUGCCUGUAGAGCUUGUACUGCAUAAGUUUGAACACCUUGACUUUGCAUCAGGGGACUGAGCCACACCACAUUUACCAUCCAUGUCAUUAACCCUCCUCUCUGAACAUGCAGUUUCACAAUCAUACUCACCCUCAUCAACAGCAAAAUCACCACUAUCUCUUUGUUCAAAUGUUGAUGCCUUCAGUUCAUCUGAGGAUAACGAAUCAUUUGAUAACUCCACAUUAUCCAUUGAAAUUCACUUUCACAACCCCCACUUUGAUACUGUGAUCCCUCCUGAGCAGACGAAGAUUGGAACUCAAUGUCCUUAUUUUGAUCGUUUUGCUCCCCCAGGUGACGCAUUUCAUUUUGUUUCUCAGAAAGAAAGCAGAAAGCUUCAUUUGCUUUCGGCUUGAAGAACUAUUCUGACUUAUUUGAUAUGGAGCACCUGAGUUCAAAUAUAGUAAGAAAAGAUAAUGCAUAAGAAUAUAUGGAUUCACGAGUGUGUAAAAGCUCAUCAAGCACCAACAUAGGUUGUAAGUACAUACGUCUAUAUUUUAAUAAAUUAAUCUUCUAUUCUUAUAAAAAAUGAGGGCAUAUGUUUACAGAACUAAGCAAAAUACUGUUGGAUCAUGAUUUCACAUAUAAUUUUUACAUAUAGGCCUUCAUACAAAGCAUAGUUCUAAUUACGGGGAUAUCUAUCUUAACUCAAGGAACAAAUUAUUGAGAACACUCUGCUGGUCAUAAAAAUAAAACAUCUAUCUUAGUCCCAGGAGGUAACCACACAGUGUCAGCUCACUCAACCCUGUCACCAACAAGCACAAUACAGGCAACAUGUUCAAUCCAGAUACAGACACUAAUUAAGCUAAAGUUGCAUUAAGGAAGCAGAUCAUUCAGCACUAAACUGACUACAAAAAGGUGAGCAAGGACGAGAAAAUACAGUUGAGGAUCCGGUUCUCUGCCAGAGAAUCCACCACCCAUGCCGGCUUCACAACUGGAAGUCCCUUAUUGCUGAAUGCUCUGGAUCAAACAGCAACACGAUCAUCAUAAUCAAGGCAGAGGCAUGCUAACAGAAGCUCUGAGGCUCCCUUCCCAUCCACUUACAUACCUCAGGUUCUUCAUUUUGCUAUGAGGCAGGUUGCUGCAAACAAUGUGUGUCACCGUGUGCCUCGAGAAGUAAUUAACAAACCGGCCGCCAUUGUUCAGCAUAAUCUCCUUCAGUUCCUAAAAAUCCCCCCAAACGAAACAAAAUUAGAUCGACACGCACCCCACUGGUUUAUUAGCAACAAAAUUCAGUUGCGACCAGAUGAUCAGGUGCGAGAAAUGCUUAGGAUGAGAUGGGGGCACCUGGCUAGAAGGGAUGGUGAAGCCGUCGACGAAGAUGGAGACGCCCGCGAACAACCCACCGGCGUCCGCGCCGGAGGUGGAGGCGUCGGCGUCGAACUGCGCGGCGAGCUUGCUGUUCUUCGCGGCCAUGUAGCUGCCGAAGUCGGCGAACGGGGAGGAGGCGAAGGCGCGGCGAGGGUUUUUGGCGGGGUCGGAAGGGGACCCGCGGCCGCUUCAGGCCCGGCGACGAUGCCGCCGCCGCCGCCGCCGACAGGGCGCGGAGACCCGAGGAGGUGGAGCUCAUGCCGGCGGGGAUCGGAGGGGAGUGGCCGUGAGGCGGCGCCGUCGAUCGGGGUGGCGAGUCGGGCGGGGAAAUUUGGGAGCGCGCGAGUCGAAGGGUCAAGUGGGCGAGCGAGGCGCGCGGUGCGGGCGAACGCGGAGCGGCUGAGAGCCUGUCCGUCUCGACGUCCGGGCCUGCCAUGCACGAGCAAAAUGUGGCGUGACGUGACCGGCCUGAUCGUGAUCAAUCACAGCAUGCAGUGGAUGCUGACAUGCUAAACGGUGCCGCUGGUGCCUGGGAACCCAUGCCAUGAGGACACCCAGCUAGCUGGCCGCACUGCUCAACUGCUCAGUUAAGGUUCAGGUUCAGACUGCGGAUGCUCCGGUCGCGAUGCCCUGCCCCGCGACACGUACCAAAGGCAUCCGGUCGACGCGCCUGUUGUCGACCACCGCCGGCGGCCGGCGUACGGUGUCGGGAACCAAACUCUGGGUGCGAGACGCCCGACCGGGGCUGCGUCGAUCAUGUGUCACAGUACUAUGAUUCCUCAGCAGAUUGAGUUCGGCACUCACGUGCGGAAAGUCUUGUCCUCUGAGUCUCCGAUGGGAAGAACACCGCCGUGUGCCAGCGUUCACAUUCCAUCACGCAGCCAAAUGGGAACGCGCAAAGGAAACCGUCAACCGCUGCUCCAUGUCGCGCUAACUGCGGUGAGCCGGCGACGGUGAGGGGUUGGGUUGCAGCUCCGGACCGGAUGGCUGCCAUCAAGUGUAGGUAGGAAGUACGGCAGGUCGUGGUCAGACGUGAUCAUUUGUCGGGUCAGGUUCUUUGGAUGGUUGGGUCAGAAUUUUUGGCCUGCGCUCACCCGGCACAUGGUCGGGAUGGGUCGGGUUCGGGUUUUUUUUUAACUUUUGAGUUGGGUUGGGUUUUUCAGGUUUUGGGCCGAAAAAAAUGGGCCCACGCUCGAACCGUCACAUGGUCCGGUCGGGUCAGGUUGGGCUUUUUUCGGGUGGGUUGGGUCGGGUUUGUCAGGUCGGGCUACCUAUGAUCCGAUCUACUCGUGGUACAUGCUUGUCCGCACGUGCAUACCCGUUGGUCUUCAGAAAACUCCAUGACACAAGGAAUUGCCUUUAUGCAUUGCUACCAAAGAGAUAGCCAUCUCUGUGUCAACAUUUCAAUUACACGCAAAUCAGAGUGCAUUGCAAUGCUCCUAAUCCCCCUCGAAUGAUUCUUAUCCCCUUGUUCGCGUCUUGCACACAUCUUGCAGAGGCCGCGGGCAAGCGAUCCUCUGCCCUCCCUACGCGGCGCACUUGCAGAGGCCGCGGGCGAGCGAGUGGGGCCCCGGGAAUCGGCGUCCGGUCCACACGGCGCAUGCGGAGCUGCUGCAGAUGAGCCAGUGGGGUCGGGCGGAUCUCCCCAGAUUUCAGCGCCUGAUUUAGCGGUGAGCGCAGGCGAAUCCGCCUGGGAUUCGGUGACGGGAUCGUUUGCGGCCGGGACUUCAGCAGCUCCUGAGUUAUUAUCGUAUGCGUCUUCUUCUUCAACAUUGAGCUCCAAAUUUGAUGGAUUUAAUUCUUGCACAUCACCAAUAUUCUCACCAGAACCAUUAGAUAGAUUAGCAUCAUUAGACACACAACUUACAUCCACAUAGCUAAGCAAAUGUGAAGGUAAAAGAAUAAUUUCUUUGUGUAGUUGGGUGCCGGCAUUAGGAUUGAGAUGAGCAAAAGGGAAAAAUUUCCACAUCAAAGACAACAUCUCUAGAGAUGUAGAUGCGUCCAGUAGAGAUGUCAAGGCACUUAAACCUCUUGUGCAUAGCACUAUAGCCUAAGAAGGCACAAUGAGUAGAGCGAAAAGCAAGCUUGCGCGAGUUAUAUCGAUGCAAGUUGGGCCAACAAGCGCAACCAAAAACUCGAAGGGGUGUAUAAUUAGGAGUCUCGUGAAGAAGUCGAAUAACAGGGACAUCAUAGUCAAUGAAUUUGCUUGGAAGAAGGUUAAUGAGGUAGGUUGCGGUUAGAAAGGCAUGAUCCCAAUAUUUCAAGGGUAUGGAUGCAUUAGCAAGAAGAGCAAGCCCUACCUCAACUAUGUGAUGGUUCGGCAACACCGUUUUGUUGAUGAGCGUGGGGACAAAACACACGAUGUGUGAUGCCUAUGCGUUGGAAAAAGGAAUUCAGCUUCUCAUAUUCGCCUCCCGAAUCUAACUGCAUAGACUUAAUCUUUCGACUGAAUUUUCUUUCUACGAGUUGUUGGAAAUUGUGGAAAACAUGAAAGACAUUGGAUUUUUUUCUUUAGGAGAUAAAUCCAAGUACAUUUGCUGAAAUUAUCAAUGAAGCUAACAUAAUAGCUAUGGCACCCAACACAUAAGGAAAUAGGUCCCCAGACCUCAGAGAAAAUCAGAUCAAGAAAAAAUUCAGAUGAACUAUUUGAUAUAGGAUAUGGAAGCUGACAACUCUUGGCCAUCUGACAAGAAUUACAAAUAGACUCUGAAUUUUUAUCACUAGUACAAGGAAGUUUAUUCAAACUAAGGAUUUUCUCUAUAAUAGGAAAAGCUGGAUGACCAAGUCUACUAUGCCAACAUGUAGCUGAAGGUUUAUUGACCGAAAAAACUUGUUUCCUGGGAUCUUCUGGAGAUAUGUUUGAUCCUAAGGGAUAGAGACCUCCUCGGCAGCUACCUUGAUGGAUGACUUUCUUCGUUUCCUGAUCCUUUAUACAAAAGAAAUUUGGAUGAAAUUCUAAGAAGGCAUCAUUAUCUCAAGCUAGCUUAUGAACAAAAACUAAAUUCUUGCUAGCACCAGGAACAUGAAGAAUAUUUUUGAGAAUAAUAUUUUUGCUAGGGGUGUGUAAAGUUGGAUGACCAAUGUUACUAAUUGUUAUACCUGUUCCAUUGGCCGUAUUUACUUGAUCUCGCCUGUUACACUUGUCAUGGACUGUCAUCUUCUCAAGCUCACUAGUAACAUGAUCAGACGCCCCACUGUCUACAUACCAGUUUGUGUCAUAGCCAUAACCAGUAGUAGCUGCCCCUACGGACUUUUGAUUUUGUUUAUCUUCAUUGUCAUCAUAUCUAUACCAGCAGCGAUCUGCUUCAUGUCCUACUUUCUUGCAUGACAAAUUGUCUUGGCAUUGCGUCCUCCUUGCUUGAACGUGUUACUUGGGCCGGAGCUACUGUUAUUGUUGCCACGGUAUGAUCCACCGCGACCACCAUUGCAACGGCCACGACCACAAUUGUUAUUGCCUCGGCCACGGCCACCAUAGCUGUUGCCAUAGCCACGUCCUCUACCAGCCAUAUUGGUUGACGACUGGAAUUGGGCACCUUCUUGAUGCAUCUUCAUGAGUUGAUCAUAUGUAAGCAGUUGAGAGUACAUAUCACUCAAAGAAAGAGAAUCAACCCGACCAAGCAUAGAAGACACAAAGGGAUUAUAAUCAAAGUCAAGACCAUUCAAGAUAAAGUGAAUCAUCUCAUCAUCAUCUAUGAACUUCCCAACCGUGGCUAAUUCAUCUUUGAAAAAACACAUCUUGGUGAAAUAAGCUGAGGACCACAUGUUACCCUUCUUAGUUGUAGAUAGUAGGUAGCGCAGAUUUGCAAUCCGAGCCUUGGAGUGCACCGAGAACAUCCUCUCAAGCGCCUCCCAUGCUUCUGCUGUUGUGGUUGCCGUUGCCACCGGUGCUAGUGCAUCCUUGGUGAGAGAAUUCAGUAGGUAGCUCAAUACCUGCUGAUCUUUUGCAACCCAGGAGUCGUACUUGGCAUUGUGGACGAUCUCCUUCUUGCUGUCCGCCUUGACCACCUCCAGAGUCUUGGGCGGCUCAGGGAUAGAUCCAUUUAGAAUCCCCAUGAGUUGAGCUCCUUGUAUAGCAGGAAGGAAUUGAGCCAUCUAUAGGAGGUAGUUGUCUCAAGUUAAAUUUCUCGGAGACAACCCCUAAUAGCGCCGGUGUGGAAGUUGAUGGUGACGUCAUUGGAGGUUGUGGAUGUUUGUGGAAGAGGAUGCUCUGUUUACCAUGUAAUGUAAGAAAAGAGGAAAUGUGGUUGCUUAUCUUGGCUCGCCACGGUUGCGUGUUUAUAUAGGGUGAAAAACCACCAAGAGAUUUACAUGAAUACAAUUGUGAUUACCUAGGACUCGAUUUGCUUUAUAACUUGAUUUACAAGAGAAUCUAUCUUUAAGCAAUCCGAGUCUAUCUCUAAGAUUACAAUUAUGGCACAUGUGCACAAUAGAUCAUGGCGCAUGGCGCACAGUAGCAAGAGCUACCUGGUUACAAAUACAAUUUUAACAGGGGGAACUUUUUCGUGCGGUGGUGGUGGGCUGAGGACGGAGGGGCAAAGGGUUUCGCGCAGACGAGACGAGGGAUGCACGAAGAGGAAUGGCCUGGGUAGGUGGUGAUUUUAUAGCGAGCGAGAACUCGAGAUAGGCUGGCAUCCUCGGCACGCCAAGGAUGCAUGGGACGGCCGGGCGCCGGCUCUGGCUGUGGAUCAGAACAAACAAAACGCCGUCAAAGUUUUUCCGUUCUCUUUUACUGCCGCAGCAGCAAGCUCGUCGAGAAAUGCACGGUGCGCGCGCCUUCUCUGAUGACGCCGUCGAACGAGACGACCGUCUGCGGCGAUGCGUCCCUGGCGCGCGCGACGGCAGGGUGCUCGUGCACCAGCGUGGCUCAGUCCUAGUGCGGCGUGCGGUCCAUCCUCGUGCACAGAGCUGAGCCCAGGUAAAACGGCCGGCCGGCCGGGGUGCCGCUGCUUAGCCGGUGUCGUUGUUGUGUCGACGCAGUGGAGGAACGACGCGAGGGUGAGAGUUACUCGGCCAUGAUCGACUCCACUAACCGCGCGUGUAGAUGGCCCCAGCCUGAACAACCUCCCGGACGGUUGAAGCUACUCACCAACUUCAAGGUGUAGCAGGCAGAUGGUGUGUGCACCGUGCACGCAUAGCCUGCUCAUCCACACACACACGCCUAGCAUCGAAACGUGACAAUAGAGGGCCGCCAUGCGGCACGUAUGCGGGCUCGGUGAGAGUUGCAUUGAGAAGAGGUUGACAAGAAAUGACAGGGGUAUAACCAAAGUACGCAUAAUUUUCUAAAGUAUUUCUUGGUUCAGUUUGCCCUCUAGACCAUGUAAUUUAUUUUUUAUUUUUUCAUGCACAAGUGGAGUCAUAAGUUAAAAUUUUGCAAUGUGAUAGUAGGCAUCAUAAGAUAUAUUAGAAAUAUAUCAUAAACUUUUUAUCAUUAUUUUGAUGGGGUCGAAUAUUUAAUAAUAGAUUUAUCCUGCUAUACAAAAUUAUAUAAAAAAUAAUGAUAAAAAUUAUAAUAUAUUUUUUAACAUAGAUUCUGAUGUCCACUAUCACCUGCAAAAUCUCAAAUUAAAAUUCAACUUGUGUAUGGAGAAAAUAAAAAGAACAAAUUGCAUUAGGGGUAAGUUAGUUGAAUAAAAAGCAUAGUUUAGGGGGGAUAAAUUGAACUAGAAAAUAAUUUAGGAGGUUAUUUGGACUUUUGCUAUACUUGAGGGGAGUAGUUUGGACUUUUUCUCCAUCACCAUUGGUCCUAACGUCAGUGGAAGAGAGAAGAGAUAAUAAAAUAGAGAGAACCACGCAAGAUCUGGAUCGGAAACCUCCUUAUUCAGAUUUCCUUCACUGCUCCUUUUCGUAAAAAGCCUAUACAUAACUAGAAAUCUUUUUAGAAGAACAUAAUGAUGCAACCUAAAACUACUGAAGCUGCCGUGUACAACAUCAAUCUCAUUGUACACGCUUUCCCAAGCACUGUUCGCAGGGUACCACUUACAUGUUCGGUAGUAGUAGCAGUGUUAAGAGAGCUAGCGAGGCUUUUGUAUCUUGAGCAGCAUUAUUGUAGUAUGAAGCUAAAAUCUCUCUCGUCUUCUUCAUACCCAGCCUUCAUCUUCUCAACGCUUCCUUCAAGGGCAUGCGCAAGAGAUGGCUGUGGACUUUAAUGUCGUAAGCAUCUGCACAUGACGUCAAAUACAACAACCCUACUUGCAGACGCCGAUGUUUGUAUGUCAAGGGACCGUCUGACAGACGCUAUUAAACGAUUAAUGUUGGCCCUUUCCUUCCUAAAUACCGCCCACCGCCAUAGCACCCCCAUAGACUUGAGCUCAUCGAAUUCGUCUCUUAGUACUCUCAUCCUAAUUCGCUGCAUUAUUAUUUCUCGAGACAAUGACGACCUUCAGAUUAUUUCAUCCGCACGGUAUUUGCGUGUGACAUACAUGUCUUUAACAUAUAGUCAGACUUUUUCCCUCUGAGCUUCAACAUAAACUUCCGGAGUUGUCGCCUGAAAAUUAAAUCAGACAUAAACCACCUUGUAAUUUAUACCGUACCGCCUAAAAUUCACACUAGCGUUACGACUACCAUUGGCAAUUCGGUUAUAUAGCUGUACCUAGAAUAUGAGGAAAAGAAACAAAAGAAUAGAAUGCAUGCAUUCAUCAUAGAUUGAAAAAAAAAAGAGUGUAAACCUGUAUCUCAAUUCGUCACGUUGGCCGAUCUGAUCCAUCGGUUUCAAAGGACAACUGAUUGUCGAGAAGAAUAAGACAAAGAAGAAAACGUAAUAGCCCUCUUUAUUUUAUUAUGAGCCCGGCAACUCUCUUUUUUUCUUUUUCUAAAAAAACUCUAACUCUUUUUUAUUCGAAAAAUAACUCCAACUCUUUUUUUAUAGGGACUCCAAUUAGGUAGGUGCAGCUAGCUGAUUCUGCUUCUGUGCACAUUGCACGUAUGGAUGGAUUUAUUUGGCUCCGACUUCAACUUGCAGCCGAUCGAGCCCGAUCGCCAAGGUGUUUGCCAGGUGGCGCCGCAAGCACUCGACCUAGAUAUAUAGGCAGGAGCAGAAGAAACCCUUUGCCUCUGGCGGUCGGGAUCCGGCCUGGCGCCUCGAUCUCGUACGUGUCGCGUGCUCUGUGGCCGUAGUAUGCACGCCUGGGGGAUGAGCGCGCUGGGCUCUGCAGCGACGUGCUGGCCUGCUGCUGGUCCUCUCAUCGUCGCCUGCGCGCGCUGCCGUGCGCCGUGUUCCGGUCGGCCGGUUCCAUUGCAGGCUGCAGCGCGGCACGGGUCGCCUCCGCCCUGCUUGCUUGCUUUUCGCCACCAACCGCGCCGCGCUUUCACGAAAAUGGCAAGCGGCGGGGCGGUAGCUUUUCUCCUCGGUCGCCGGCGAAAAGAGGGUUUGCGUCCUGUCACCCUUGGCAGGACGCGCGCGCCAACAGCUAGCCUUCUGCAUACUGCGUGCGUGGCAGCCGGCCAGCCCCGAACAGCUGAUCUCUGCCUGCCUGGCCUUUGCGCAGCGCCAUCGCCCCUGCCCGCCCCCGGCCGCGCAAAUCCGGCCAUGCAUGUGGCCUUGCAGCCUGUGCAGUUUCGCGAGCGAGAGACGGAGGAGAUCAUGCUCCCCAACGUUCAUGGACACGUCUACCUAGGGUUGCUACAGGCCUAUNNNNNNNNNNNNNNNNNNNNNNNNNNNNNNNNNNNNNNNNNNNNNNNNNNNNNNNNNNNNNNNNNNNNNNNNNNNNNNNNNNNNNNNNNNNNNNNNNNNNNNNNNNNNNNNNNNNNNNNNNNNNNNNNNNNNNNNNNNNNNNNNNNNNNNNNNNNNNNNNNNNNNNNNNNNNNNNNNNNNNNNNNNNNNNNNNNNNNNNNNNNNNNNNNNNNNNNNNNNNNNNNNNNNNNNNNNNNNNNNNNNNNNNNNNNNNNNNNNNNNNNNNNNNNNNNNNNNNNNNNNNNNNNNNNNNNNNCCUAUUUUAUGGAAUCGAGGCAAAAAUGAACUAGUGGAGAGAAGGCCUCGUGAUCGCGUGAGCGGCAAGGCCACAUGGCCGGGCUGCACAGGGCUGGGCGGCUGGCAGGGAUCAGCUGGACAGGGUGGGCCGGUGACGACGCUGCAUGCAGCAGAGGGCGCGGCAGGGUAGCGCGUCGCGCCAAGGGCGCCCAGACGCGAAUCCUCUUUUUGCCGGCGAGCGAGGCGAAAAGCAACCGCCCUUCCCCUCCCCUCCCUCGCCCGGCGUCGCGGGCCAGCUCACCGUACCCGCCGCUUGCCGUUCCCGUGAAAGCGCGGCGCGGCGUGGUGGUUGGUGGUGAAAAGCAAUCAAAAUGGCCUGGUCAGGCAAGCGAGCCGUGCGGCGUCGUGAUCCGGCCUGCACCGGGACGGGCCGACCGGCACACGGCACCGCGCGCAGGCAGGCGGCGAGACGGUGGUGGCAGGAGCCCCUGCACCCUGCUGCCCCGCUGCAGCCGACGACGACGCGGACCACCACGUCGCAGCAGAGGGGAGGAACCCAGCGCGCGCUCUCGUCUCGCUCCCUCGCUCGCACGGUCGCCUCGCCCUCGCGCGCAGCCACGGGGCACGCGACACGUGCCAACGUGCCAGAUCGAGGCGCCGGGCCGGAUCCCGACCGCCAAGAUGGGAAGGCUUUUUCUCGAAGCCUUGGAUGCGGUGUCCUCUUCCUAGCUUUUAUCCUCUUCUCCCAAGCCUCACGGUCAAGAGGGGAGAGUUCUUUCCUUUCCCCCGUUGUUUUGUUUUCAUGAAGGAAACUAUUGCAACCUUUAGUUUCAAAAACUACUGCAACCUUAGGCUGCAUGAAGCCCUGAACUCCUUUUUUUUUCUUUGUAUAUAAACCUUAGCUUAUCUCUUUUGGUGCAUAUUUUGCGUUGUGUGGUCUUAGAAAUUCAAAGAAAGAAAAAUCGAACACCAAAUGGUCGAUCUCCUUGCCACGUAGUUUGAUGAAGCUUUUCCUCCUUUUUGAAGGUGCCAGUUCAUUCGGAGCCGGAGCAGGAGAAGAAACUCCAGAAAAUCCUAAAAAAUCUUUUUCAAAAAAUGUUGAAGCAAUUUUUUUUUAAAAUGUUGAUCAACAUUUUUUUUAAAAUGUUGGUGUAACUAUUUUUCAAAAAAGUCAGAUUCAACUUUUUUCGAAAGAAAUGGUGGUUCAACUUUUCAUAAAAAUGUUGGUGCAACUUUAUUUUUUUGAAAAUGUUAGUCUAUGAGCAACUCCAAGAGGCUGCUAAUCUUACCCCCAAUAUCUUUUUUAGAAAAAAAGAGAGAAAAAAUGAACUCCAACAAUCUACCUAAACCUUCCCCAAUUUUUUAGCGACGCUAAAAAACAGCCUGCCACCGUGUAUAUUUUAGCGUUGGCGUUCCUUCCCCAAUCCUGAUUCCCGCACGCCCGCGCGUCCCUUCCGAUGGGCCCAAUACGAUGACGUGGCCUGGGUUUGAAAUAUUGGGGGCUAUUUAUUAGCGAUCUGCUGUGGACUGAUAUGUUUUUGGGGAAAAUUUUUUUAGGAGAACCCCCAAUACAUAAUUUUGGAAAAGAAUCUUUUAGGAUACUCUUGGAGUUGCUCUAAGUAACCCAAAGAGGAAUAAAGACUUCGCUGAGAGCGACGGAGGGCCCCCACCCACCGCCCCCGUCCCUCCACCUCGCCGCGUCGUUUCUCGCUUUCCGAGGGGAGCUCGCAAAACCCCACUCCCACUGCGUCGACCGCCCAGCCCCGCCGCGCCGAUCGCGCCGAACCCUAGCAUCGCCGCCUCCGCCGCCGCAAUCCGGCCGCGCAGCCGCAUUCCCCACCGCGCUUGCUCGCCGGAGGUAAGAUUCCAGCCACCCGCCCGCUCCUCCUCCCCCCGCGCCAGCCGUGUCUCGCUCCCGCGCUUCUUCCUUUUGCUGAAUUCUGUUCGUAUUCUUGAUGAAUGCUUACCAUUUUAGGGUUUUGUGUCUCGGUCGUAACAGCAAUUUCGCCGUGCCCCUUUCUCGUUAUUCGUGCUUUUGCGUUUCCUAGUUGGUGCCUUGUGACUGACAAAAAAAAAUGUUAGGGAAGAAGAGGAGGAUAAGAUUGAGAUGGGCAUUGGCUUAAAGUUAACUCUGUCUAUACACGAGAGUUAACCCUGAUCGAUCUCUCCUCCUCGCCCCACCGUCACGCCGCCCGUGCUCGACCUCUCCUCCUCACCCCGCCGUCACGCCGCCGCCUCUCCUCCUCGCCCCGCCGUCCCUCCGCCGCCUCACACCGCCGUCCCCGAAAUGCAGCCUCGGCGCAGAAAUCCGCACGGCGGCGGCGGCGGCGGCAGGUACGGGGCGAUUGGAACUGCCUCCUUCAAGAGGACCAACCAUAACAAGAGAAGUAAACCUAAUCGGCGCGGCGCCGGCGCGAUUGCUGCUCCCCCUGCCGCACCACAAGCGAUUCCGGUAAGCAUCCGCUGCAUACUUACCUUAACGUGGAAAUGUGGAUCAGUACAGCUUGCUUUCAACGGCGGAAUUCCACCUCUGUUGCUUUUGUGGUUUGAGUCACAGUUGAGAUCUUGGCCUUCAGUAAACUUAUGUAGCUUGUUAACUGCCAUGCUGCUAUUUCUGAACUUAUGUAGCUUGUUAACUGCCAUGCUGCUAUUUCUGAACUUAUGUAGCUUGUUAACUUGCUAUGUGAACCAAACUCUGCAAUUUCGUACUUCACAGUGCUGAAAUUUGGGCAUUUCCCUUGGUGGAAAAAGUCAAAGUUGAGAUGACUUUAAUUUUGUUGCAUGUUUGCAUUAUAUUUUGUAGGAUGAUGUCUUGCAGCUAUUCUUCAAGGACGCCACUACACAAAUGAAGCAGUCAUUGCUUCAGUAUGUCCAGGCAGGACCCCAUACUAUUCUGACCACAGUACCUGGUGAUACAAGAAAAUACAAGAAGCGAUCUGAUCAUGCCAGAUUGGCCACAUCAGCAAAGGUGUCCUGGUAUUAUAAUCUGCACUUUCUGGGAUGGUCUCUUGAGGGUAACGCUAGACAUCAUGAAUUUGGCAUUGACCAUCUAGGUUACCUUAAAGGACACACAACUCUGCUGAAGUUUCUGAAGAAAGUCUCUUUGAAUGGGAGAAGCAAAGACAUGCUGACUUGCGCGAACUGCAUUGAGCAUGCUAUACAUCCUAGUUCGCCAAGUGUGACAUUACCAGAAGACCUUAUGCAGCUGAUCCAUCUCCUGAGGAACUUUGAUCCUAAAUACUAUCCAUUGGUACUGGGUCAUGUGUGCCAUGAGGUUGAAGCUAUUAAGUGUGCAUUAUAUGUGAAGAUGUUCAACAGAUUGAUGGUCCUCAAGAGGGCAAACAUAACAACAUAUUUCAAGAUCAUGAAGGCACUCCCGUACAGCAACGUUUGGAUCAGUGAAGCUUCUAAAAAUGUGCACCUGGCUCAUGUUCUGCACUAUGACGGACGUCAGAUGAGCAAAAAGAUCCAGAAAAUCGUUGUACGAUUCCUUACUACCAGAAUCAAGUAUGACACAGGGGCUGAAGGGUUACUCAAUUUUCGACGGAAUGGUGAAGCACACCUUGAGAAGGAUUAUUCUGUUGACUUUGGAGGUCAUGUCGAAGCGGCUCUGACCGGUGCAAAGGCAGUACUUGAUCUGCAGCCAGGUGUUGCGGCAGGACCUCCAAAUCCUAUCGUUAGAAAACUGGCCUCUCGUAUAGGGUCGGCAGUAGCAGCCGUGCUUCAGAAGUCGUACUCAUCACCUGAAGCAGCAAAACAAGCUGCAAUUGCAGCAGCGACUACAGUAGCGCAAAAUCCCAAUCUAUGUAAGAAAAUUGCACAAAACAGAGCAGCAACAGCAGCAAAAGCUGCAGCAGCAAAGGCAGCAGUUUGGCCUCCAGCAGUCCCCCAAGCACCUCUGAUGUUUGACUCCGACCAAAUUGAGCACAUGUUUGAUGUAUCAACACCUCUAUUACUUGCUCAGUUCCAAAAAGCGAUGUUUGAUGAAUGGCAAGUUUUUCAGCUAGAUGACGGACAAAAGGUUGCCUGCCUCUUAUAGUUUCUGCAAGGUUUCGGUGGAAGUACAGUGUUUGCAAGGUUUCAGUGGAAGUAGUAGUUGGAGACUGAUAAGUAUCUGCAGGGUUUCGGUCGAAGUAGUAGUAGUAAUCUAUUAGGUAAUAUGUCCAGUUUAUGUUGUGUCAAUUGUCAGAUUCAUCUGACGUUUCUUACGCUGCUCUUUCGAUCUGACAUUUGUUACUGAACUGAAUAUUCCAGUUUGUAAGACUGGAGCAUCUCAAUAGUUUCUUUGAUUUUGGAAUAGACUUAACAAAUUUUAUUCUAUUAGUUUCUUUGAUUUUGGAAUAGACUUAACAAAUUUGAUUCUAUUAGUUUUUUUGAUUUUGUAAUAGACUCAACAUAUUUGAUUCUGUAAAGAAAUGGAGGAUUCUGUAAUUUAAAAAGCACUGGAAAAUAAUGUUAGCAAUCAACCAAUUCUUUUUUCUAGAAUACGCAGGAGAGCUACGUAUCAUUAUAUUAAGAGGGGUUAAACCAAUAUUACAACGCGGGUUUUUCCAGGCGUACGCACACGGUUCGUUAAUGAAUUAGACGAUUACACUGCAAAGUAAAACUCCCCUAGCACUAAAAAAAAAAACGGUUUCUAACCUGAACCUGUAGCCGACACCGGCCAACCUAGAGCGCUCAAAUGUCUUGCUCCGGCAGUAUACUUGCUUCAUCAGAAAUACGGUCGGGCAACAUUGCUGGGUUGUUGCUACUGCUCUGCUGAAAACACGCUCGUUUCUCUCUUUCCAAAUUCUCCAAGAUACUAACAUGAACAAUGAGUCGAGACCCCCUCUCUUGGUUCCAAUAAACGCUGCCCUUUUCAUCAGCCACCAAUCCAUCAGAUUCUGGUGGUGAGAUGGUGGCUCGUUUGUAGCGUUGAUCUUUGCACUAACCAUGAACCAGACCUGCUGGGUAUAUGAGCAUCUCGCAAACAAGUGCUCUGAUGUCUCAAUUUCCUGAUCACAAAGUGCGCAAAGCACCUGGUCCUGCAACCCAUGCCGGUGAUGUCGUUCUGCUGUCCGGAUGCGCUCUCUCAGGGCGAGCCACACAAAGAACUUCACCUUUAAUGGAGCCCAAGCCUUCCAGACUGGCUUGGCUGCCGGCGAUUUCGUUGAGCCAUGAAAGAAUGCCUUGUAAGCCGAUCUUGCCGAGUAAAUACCUGAGCUUUCCCAGCGCCACGAGACCUUAUCCUCGAUUCCUUGUAACAACUGAACUGCAGCGACAGCAUGCCAUAGGUUGACAUAUUGGGUAAGUGCUGCUACUGUAGGCUGUCCGACAAAAUCUGCUAUCCAUUGUUUGUCCUGCAGGGCUUCAGCUACGGUUCUUUUUUUCCUGAUCCGUGGCCUGACCAUAUUACACAGGUCUGGGGCAAGGAUGCAAGGCGAAUUAUGGCCUAACCAAUUAUCUAACCAGAAAAGAGCCAAAUUACCGUCACCGAGCUGAACUGAGAUGGAAGUCUGAAACAUAUGCUGAAGGACCACAUCCUGUUCAAAAUCCGUUUGUAAAUGUCGCCAAGGCCUAUUGGGAUCAGUUCUCUUUAGCCACAACCAUCUCAGCCUUAAGGCGAAGGAUGCAAUCCUCAAAUCCGGUACACCCAGGCCAUCACAUUCAGUUGGCCGGCAAGCAGUAGGCCAAUUCACUAAACACUGGCCGCCAAGUGCUUUAUCUUUCCCUGCCCACAGAAAACCUCUUCGCCUCUUGUCCACUUCCUGAAUAACCCAAUCUGGGAUCUUGAGGGAGAUUAGAGUGUGGGUACAUAUGGACCUCAUUACCACCUUGACUGUGUUUAAUCUACCUGCUUUGUUCGUAAGUGGGGUUUUCCAUGUAGGGAUUGUGGAUGCUACUUUGUCAAUUAGGGGCUGCAAGUGUGCUUUCCUGAGGCGUCCUACUGUGAGGGGCAAACCUAAGUAUUGGAUUGGAAAAUCACUUAGCUGUGCUGGAACAAUGUCUCUGAUCCUUUGCACUUGCUCCUCUGAACAAGCAAUCGGUGCCAUGAUGCUCUUUUGCAAACUCGUCUGAAGCCCAGAGGCAUUACCAAAGAAGGCAAGCACUUCCCUGAUCAUAAUCAUGUCUUGGGCUGUUGGGGAUGCAAACAAAACCACAUCAUCGGCAUAGAGGGAGCAUUGGUGAUGGAUUGAGGCGUCUGCUGGGGGGGGAGAGCACCCCAUCUUGGACUGCCUUCUUGAGCAACUUCUGCAAGAUUUCCAUGAGUAGUAUAAACAACAUAGGAGAUAAUGGGUCUCCUUGCCUGAGCCCCCUAGCAUUGUGUAUCGGCCUUCCAGGGCAACCAUUCAGUAGAACUCUUGUUGUUGCAGUAGAUACCAGUGCUGAAAUCCAGUCCCUCCAUUUUGGCCCAAAACCCAGUGUCUGCAACACUUGUAGAAGGAAAGGCCAAGACACUGUGUCGAAUGCCUUAGAAAUGUCCAGCUUAAGCAGGAUGCUCGGUUUCUUUUUCCUGUGCAGGCACUUUGCUGCUUGUUCGACAAAUUUAAAGUUGCCAUGUAUGGACCUUUGCUUAAUGAAAGCACUCUGGUUCAGAUCAACAAGAUUUUGUAUCUCAGGUGCUAAUCAAUUGGCUAAUAACUUUGCCACUAACUUGGCAAAGCUGUGAAUAACUUUGCCACUAACUUACAGGUGCUAAUCAACCAUUAAAUUCCAUUCACUGUUGAUGAUGACAUGCUACAACACUUCGCAACGCUUUGGUACAUCGGUAAGCAAGAUACACCAUGAAACCAAAGCUGAUAUAUCCAGCAUCUAAUUGGCCUUUGCAUAUUAUGAGCAGGGAUCUGAACAAUCACCAAGACACCAAGUACUGGCGACAAGCAAACAAUCAAUUUUUUGCACAAGUCUGACCCAAAGGCACUAAACCAUGAAGGAUAAAUUUUUGCACAAAUUUUUUCUCCACCUCCCACAGAUUCAGCUACUCCUACUCGUGUCUGUCACAAUGCACAAGGCGAUCGUGCUAACCCUGCUUCUAGGAUCAAACUUACAUGCAGUCUUGUCCUACCACCUGACACUGCAACAAGUGCCUCGGAGAUGCCUCAGAGAGCAACAGGUUUGGGUGUCUUUAUUCUCGACACAAAAGGACCAGCCAUCCAUACCAUUUUCAUCAAGGCAAUUUUGAGAGAGGUUUACCUGAUGAAAAUUUACAUAAGAGGACUCUGAUGAGGACUCCUGAAAUUCUUCAUGAAGAGGAUCCGGAAAGUCUGGUUAGUGGAUCCUCUUUAUUUACUAAUUUCCUAUCUUUUGCAAUCAAUUCUAGGUUAUUAAAUUCUUGUUUAAGUCCGUCCUCACGACAGAAGCCACAGCUAUACACUUGCGGCAAAGAUCACGGCUCUGCUUCACUUCACACAGGUCAACGAUAUGUCUGGCCAUGAAAUUAUGGUGAGAUUCUUCAACUUACCGCAUCAAACCAACUUACCGGAUUGGAGAUUAAAGCCAAUAACAACUCAGUUUCGGCAACUCAACAUGACAAUCCAACACAAGGUUUUACAAGACUCAUAGAGCAACAAAUGUGACUGUCCGUACUCUGGCUAUGCAGGCCAAAUACGGGACAGAGUCUCCUCUGCAGUAACUGCAGAAAUACGAUAUGUAAUGAUCUGGGUUAUUCAGAUCAGUGCCCUGUAAAGGAUGCACUAGUUUUUGUAAACUGGGAUCUUCUUGAUAUCAUAUCUGUACACUGCUGCUAAGUUUUAGUAUAUUCCAUUGCCCCCCAAAAAGUCAGCAAACUGAUAGCUAUGCUCGUGUGCUUUCAGCAACAGUGUUCCGGCUGCAGCUCCCUGGAAGAACAAUUUGAAGGUCAGUAUGGCACAAUCAAUACAUACCGUUUUACCUUCCAAGAAUUCUCACAAAUCCUGUUUCUGCAGCAUUCACUAUGAUCAGUUAAGUAAUUUAACAAUGAGCUAGUGUUAGACGAUACCCAAUUGUAUUUUGAAGGGUGUGUUGUACUAGGACAGGAAGAAUGGCAUCGUAGAGGUUGCGCGCUUCAUUACAGUUGACAAUAUAGUUUCCAUAUUGUAAUUCGUCGGGGACAUAAGCCUCAGAUAAUUUAACAAAGAUUUUUCGAGCAAAAUUUAACAAUGAUUGAUUUGUAGUUACCAUUUGUCUACCUGCCCUUCAUUGAAGGAGAAUGGUUUUGUGCAACGCAAUUGUACUCUUCUCAUUCACAUAUACUUAUACAUUUACAGAGAGGAUGUUGAGCAUGCAACUGAAAGUGCUAAAGAGUAGCUAACGUGCUCGUGUUUACAUGAACGUGUGUGACUUUGAUGGAGAGAAUAUCUCCCUGAUCUAACUGAACCACAGAAUGGGUCAACUGGAGAUACGGCUUCUGAAAUCCUCAAACAGAGCGGUAGGAAGGCCUUUUGUCAUUAUAUCUGCAUGUUGCAAAACUCUGAGUUGACCAAGGGCAACCUUUCCCCUGACGAAAUGAACAUCAAAUGCCACGUGCUUAGUUCGCUGGUGAUGAGCAGGUUUUGCUGACAUGUAUACUGCUUAGUGCCGAGAUGUCUUCGCAACAUAUCACACUUAGCUUCGGAGACGUUGAUGGUGCAGCUCACGAAGCAAGUUGAGUUUCCAGUAGCACUCUGCUGUAGCAUUUGCCACCCCGUCUUGUCUCUUGGAGCGGAGGACCAUGACACGAGAGUCUCCGAGGAAAACACAGUACCCUGAUGUUGAGCGGCCCGUGUCAGGGUACCCUGCCCAAUCGGCAUCGCAAUAGGUCAGCAGCUCCAUUGAUGUGUGGUCGUGUGGAUGCUCGGAGUGGCGGACCAUAGCAACUACUGCAGCAUCCUUUUCACCAAGUUCAGCAUCACAGGGAAGGCAGGCUUGGGGCACAGCGUAGGCAAGAUCUGGCCGUGUGAGAGUCAGGCGUUGAAGAUAGCCGGCAAUGCUGCGGUAAAGUGUCCUCGGGUGUAGGAGCCGGCUUGCAAUUUGCCAUGCCAGCACGCGCAAGAAUGUCCUCGAUCAGCAUACUGUGGCCUUCCAUGUUCGCAGUAUAAUUCUGAAGCUCUGCGAUAGAAAUCAGAUACUUCAUUCCAGCGUCCAAGCUCCUUGGGUGUUUGGAUCCCCAGGUUAAAUUUUAGUCCCUGUUACAUCGAAUGUUUGAACACUAAUUAGGAGUAUUAAAUAUAGACUAAUUACAAAACCAAUUUCACAACCCCUAGGCUAAAUCGCGAGACGAAUCUAUUAAGCCUAAUUAGUCCAUGAUUUGAUAAUAUGGUGCUACAGUAAACAUUCGCUAAUCAUGGAUUAAUUAGGCUUAAUAGAUUCGUCUCCCGAUUUAACCUAGGAGUUCUGUAAUUAGUUUUGUAAUUAGCUCAUGUUUAGUUCUCCUAAUUAGCAUCCGAAUAUCCGAUGUGACACGGACUAAACUUUAGCUCCAGGAUCCAAUCCCAAGAAGCAGCAGAUUCCGUAUGCUUAGCGGCAUAUGGGUAAUGAUGUGAAUGAAAGUUCUACAAUUGCACAGAAAUUUCCAAAGGAUACGAGGAGAACAUUUCUUGUCCUUUCGAUGCCUUCUCAUAUGCAUAUUUUGCUAUCCCAUUGUCCUUUCUGAACCUAUACACAAUCUCUUUAAAGAGAAAUGAAUUUCACUUUCGUGCUCCACAAUGAACAAAUUGCUAUCGAACUCAUGCAUUGCAUUUUGGUUCUAAUGGAUUGGGAAAAGGUUCAGGUGGGCUGCUGGCCCCCGUUGCUAACAAAUUUCUAUCAAGGAAACAAGAAGGAUGGUAAACGAUGUCACCGACCAGCUUGCUCAUACAAGGAAGUAACACUUUUCCAAUCAGCAUUCCAUCUUGUAAAACUCAAUUUGUUCCGCAAAAAAGAGUAUAUUCAUGAACAUAGGUGGCACAUUGGGGUAAAGCAGAAGUAAAAAAAAACAGGAAAAACAGCGUGUACAGUAUGUUGCAAUCAAUCACAAACAUGACGAAAAUAAAUUUUCAAUGAUAAGAUCUGACCAUAGUGAUAUAUUGUCAAGUAAGGAAAAUAAAAUUAAACUCUAAACUUAUUGGAAAACAACUCCAUUGUGAUUUUGUUAUUAUAGUUUGCUUGUGCAAACGGUGUGCAUCCAGGUAUCCAUUUUACCCUGUGCAAACAAUGAGAAUUGAGAUUGAACCUAGCUUUUGUGCAAGACAGGGUACUCUUGUUUAUCAUGUACUAUCUGAACGCCGCGUUGAGUGGCCCAAGCUAGAAGUCUGGCAGCAUAUCCUCACAAGCGAUGCAUUUACAUGGCCUUCAAGUUAUACUGUUAUGCAUUCACUUGUGCCUGUAAAGAUUUCAUCAAAAGCUAAUGCAAAUGCAAUACGAUCUAGUCAUCUAGGUGACUCUACUAAUAGGAUUUCCCACAAUAUGGAUCAAAUCAAAAUUGCCAUAUAUCGCCUUUUUCCUACAAAUUCGGUUUGCCACCAACAAAGCUCCACCAAACUACAUGAACCCAAGGGAAUUUUCUUAGUCCUUGGCUAGUUUGGAUGAUCAGGGAUGCAAAAUCCAGGGCACAGAAGCCACCAGGGGGAUUUAAGUGGCUAAUUAAAACCCUGUUGUUUUCCGUAGCAACAUUUCCCCCUCCCCGCGUUGUUUGGAAGUUUCCACUGGGCCUCCACUUGCCCUGUCCGUGCUAGAGAUGGCAAUAGGUACGUACCCGCUGGUAGUACUAUUCCAUACCCGCACCCUUGAACUCUACUUCUACCCAUUAAAAAACCCGUACCCGCAUGCAGGUAUAAGUUCUUAGGCCUGGUUUAGUUCGUUUGCUUAUUUUUAAGCACCCGUCACAUCGAAUGUUUAGAUACUAAUUAGGAGUAUUAAACGUAGAUUAUUUACAAAAUCCAUUACAUAAGUGGAGGUUAAACGGCGAGACGAAUCUAUUAAGCCUAAUUAGUCCAUGAUUUGACAAUGUGUUGCUACAGUAAACAUUUGCUAAUGAUGAAUUAAUUAGGCUUAAUAGGUUCAUCUCGCUGUUUAGCCUCCACUUAUGUAAUGAGUUUUCUAAAUAGCCUAAGUUUAAUACUCUUAAUUAGUAUCUAAACAUUGAUGUGACACUUGCUUAAAAAUAAGCAAAGGGAACCAAACGCCCCCUUAUCCAUACCUGCAUCCGUGCGGGUUUUUUACCCGUCAGGUAACCCGUACCCGAUAGCAUACCCACUAUAUACUAUCAGAAUAUAAACUAUCAGAAUAGUAAAUAUAACACAUGAGAAAGUGCAUACACCGAUAAAUUUGAGUAAAUAAAAAAGAUAAUUGACAAUUCUUAACCAAUUAAUAGUCUAAUAAAUCAUAAAAUUGUUACAGCGACAAAUUUGAGUAAAUAAAAAAGAUAAUUGACAAUUCUUAACCAAUUAAUAGUCUAAUAAAUCAUAAAAUUGUUAGUUAGUUACCAAUACUAAGUCACCCUUUACUAACAAUGUGCAAAUUUAUGAGUUUAUCACACAUUAUAGUCGGGUAUAUUUUACCCACAGGUAUGCAGGUAUGGGUAGUAUGUACUUGUACCCGCACCCGCUUACCCGAUGGGUAGAUGAUGUUACCCAUUAGUAUACCUGCGGGUAAAGAUAUGUUCCCAUACCCGCCUUCUUAUCGGGUAAAACCCAUCAGGUACUCGGGUUUCAUAUACCCAUUGCCAUCUCUGGUCCGUGCCACUAGGCCAUUGCCUUUGGAUAGCGCAAGUGCAACAGAAAAUUCAAGAAAAAUAAGGAAACUCAACGAAAAUUCAGGAAAAAUCAAUACACUGAGAAACUUAUUGCAACAAACUUAUGUCAAUAAAAAAAAGUAAAACUACAAUAAAAUAGAAACUUAUAUUGCACAAGUCCCAGGCUCUAUCAAUGGCCAUAGAUAGCUGGAAAAAAUGGCUUAUAGCUUAAUCCAUGGCUCAAUGUUGUAACACCUAAAAUUCCAUCAUGAAAAUAAUGUAAGCAACUCGGUCUAGUUUUUCGUGCUCUAAGGACUAAAUAAAUUACUUUAAUUAAAUUACGGUCUUUAAAUAAUUAAAGAGCACUUGAAAUAAUUUUAGAAGCAAUAAGUGCUUGGUAGAGUUUUUCUUUUCUCUUUUAUUUUGGCUUUUGUUUGAAUGCUUGCUUUGUAUUUCAAAAGAAUUUGAAUUGAAUUUUGAAAACUUCAACUCUAUUUAAAUUCUCAAAACCCUCCACCUCUUUUUCCUCUCCUUGGGCCAAAAUCCCUUCUCUCUCUUUCAGCCCACGAGCAUUUUUUUUUCCUUUCCCCCUCCCAACCGAAUGGGCCCAUUCCACCAGCCGGCCCAUUUUCUUUUCCCCCCUCCCUUUUCCCCCUGCGCAGGCCCAUCUCCCCUUCUUUUUCCUCUUGGGCCGCCACCUCCCCUCUCCUCCCCCCCCUCUUUUUCUUGCACCGGCCCAGCUUCCCUUUUCUCUUUGGGCUGCCACCUCCCUCUCCUUUCUUCCCCACAGACUGGCCCAAAUCAGCCCAGCCGGCCUGCUUCUUCCACCUCCAGCACCUGAAGCGCCAGGAGCCAGGCGCACGGGUGUCGUGCGCCCCCUAUGCGCCGCCGGCCGGGGCCCCCUCGCCUCCCAGUGUCCCUUGGCCUCCCGAGCCCCUCCACGACCUCGCGACGUCUCCCCUCCCCCACUCCCGGCCUCAAAUCGUCACCCCAUCUCCCGGGAGCCCCUUUCGCUCCUCCCCGGGGCCUAUAAAGGUCGCCAUCGACCUCGCCCGGAGUUCCUCUUUCCGUUUUCCUACCCACCCGCCACUCUCUCGCAUCGCCACGCCGCCGCCCGUACUAUCGCCGGUGAAGUUUCUGUUCUUCUCCGGUGAGAGCUCUCUCCUUCCUUUCCCUCCCUCUCUCCCUCCUCUCCCCCACCGAAGCGCUGCCGCCCGCGCGCCGGCGAGGCCUCCGCCCACGCCGGCGAGACCCUCCCCGUUGGCCAUGCUUCUAUGUGCUUGGUUGCCUGUUGGAGAAAGAAGAUGGAGUUUUUGCGAUCUAGUCCCUAAACUCUCUGUUAUUCCUUUUACUUAAUUCUUGUGUCUUGUAAUUUUUUUCAAAGAAGUCCCUGAAGCUCCUGUAUUCUUUUUAUUUUAACCUGAGCCAUGCCAUUUUGUAGAUCUAACCCUAUGUUUCUCUGUUUUCGCAUGUACUGUUCAGUAUAUCUUUCUAAAAUUCCUUGCUAGCCCCUGAAGUAUAUAGUUUAUUCUGUUUUUAGCCCCUGAAACUUGUUUAUCUCAUAUCUUCUUCGUUUUAAAUCCGAUUUCAGCGAUUCUCGCGCUCACGCGAUCGUCUCUGCAUGACGUUAGAUUUAGGAGUUUGUUGUAAGCCUUUGCAUAUGUUUGUUGUACUAUUUUAAUCAUUCUUUGUUUAUUUGCCUUGUGUGAUCGUGCAGACAACGUGACAUUCGCGGAGGAGCAAGUCCAAGACCAGCCACCGUUCGAAGAAAAGUACUCCCAGUUUGCCGAGGAAGGCAAGUGGCCUUCUCCCCCUGCAUGUUCUUUUUGUCCCAAUAAUAUCAUGAUUAAACACUUUACUUAUUUCUUGUAUGUGCAUAAAUUUGAUGGGAAUGCCUAUUAAGGACUUACCUAGUUUUAAUCCUUAUUCCUUGAAAACCUGUUUAAUCAUGUUGGGUAGACUUGCUAGUCGCUUAAAUUGAGUUGGUCAUGUGCUAAUUAUGAAAUAUGUUAAUCAUGCUUUAUUUAUGUUGCUAUAUAUGUUUGAUUACAAGAACACUUGUUUUAAUCGGAACAUGGAGAACCACCCAAGAAAACAGUACAACCACAACAUCAUAUGGCUCUGAUCUUAGCCGAAUAAUUAGGCAUGUAGUUAGCUGGUGGCUUUACCGAAAGGGCAAGGAGGGGGAAGGUGUUGGGUGCACGAUCCGGAGCAGUAGCCUUCACUAAGGUGCUGUCUCAUUAACGGGUUUUGGUCUGCAUCGCUACUGAAACUCUAGCGGGCUACCAGUUGUCUGCGUGUCUUUGUAAAGGCUUCGUAGUGGACCCCCAACCACUCACCAAAGGAAGUGUUUAAGGACUUUGCAAACCCGGGCGACACGGGGGACCACGAGUUGUGGGUAAAGUGUACAACCUCUUCAAAGUGAAAACUGAUAUAUCAGCUGUGCUCACGGUUAAGAGCGGCUUGGACCCUCACAUGAUAAUUGAACUUAAAGAUGAGAUUAAUCUGUGUUACCUUUACCUUUGGGUUAUGUUAAUGUUAUAUGCUUAAUUGGGUUGAUAUAAACUUACAUCUAGUAAUUAGGUGCUGCUAAUAAAAAUUUGACCAAUUAAAACACUAACCGCUUAAAGCCUUGAGCCAUUCCUUGUGAGCCUUGCAUGUUUCCCCACCUGUGAGUACCAACAAUAAGUGUACUCACCCUUGCCCAAACGCUGUUCAGAAGCUUGUGACGACGGGGAGUUCUUCGACGACUUCGAGGAGUUCUAGGCAGGCAGUCCACCAGUCAAGCCUGUGGAGAAGCUACGCUAUGUGUGUGUGCGUGUUAAGUUAUCGGUGAACGAUUAAAAACCUUCGUGUCUAUCACGCUGAGUGUAAUAAAGUUCCUACUAGUUUAUGUACAUUUUUUAGCACUGUCUUUGAUGUAUUCACUGAUGACAUCAACAUAUGUGUGAGAACGGAUCUUGGCACACAUAUGCGAUGCAUUCGGUUUUAUCCAGAAAUCGAGUGUGACAAAUGUGAACGAUCAGGCCAAAGAGAUGGUUGCUGUAGGGGAAAAAUUGGUUUUCCAAGACUGCAUAAUAAUCCAUUGGACUAAUCCUUUUGAAGCAAUAAUGGCUCAGAGACCUGCAUUUAAGAUCAACAACAACAACAACAACAACAACAUAGGAUUUAAGAUCAAUGAAAUAAAAAUAACUUAGUCCAGGAAUGUAUAAUGUUUUUUUGAAACUUGAAUGUAUAAUGUAACUAAAGAGAAAACACUUCAGCAAGGGAAAUAUACAAAAUUAAAAUUUUCAGAUAUAGACUGCUUAGUCCUAUAAACUAAGCUUGCCAAGGAUUUCAGCUGAACAAAAACUUUGGACCUAGUUUACUGAAUUCAGGACUUGCAUCCACAAGCACUACCAUGUAACAAUUGCCAAAGCUUAUAAUGUACUGUCCUCACAAGAAAAAUAUCUGGCAAUAGAAACAGUUAUGAUACCUAAUUGGAGAACAAUGAGUUGAGUACUAUGACAGGGAGCUUUUCUUCACUGAUCACACUUGUAUAUAGCGCCUUCCAAACAGAUGCUAGCUUUUUUUUUAUUGCCAAAGCUUUCUUCAUUAAUCAGUACUACUGCCAGCUUUUUUUAAUUAAAACCAAAUGAAAGUUAGUUCCAACCUCUGCACAGGUGUCUCAUGCAGUCAGGCACACAUGCUGCUAGAACAAUUCUUAAGUUACUAAGCUCAAAAUAUGACCUAAAACUAGCAUACGGACCCAAAAGCUACUAUGUGUUGACCAAAAAAAUGAGUGAAAUAAAGACCUUGAAAGCCACAAAUAACUAAAAAGCUAACAAUUUUAUCUCAGGAAAUAUGAGCUAGAACUGGCAUAAUUGUCCAAGAGUCCUACAGCAAUUCUCUAAAACCAUAGCACAUAUUGGCAGACGGCCAAGAGUCCAUGAGCCCAUAUUCGCAAACGACCAAGAGUCCAUGAGCAGUAAAUUAAUGAAGCCAAGUAGUUCAUGUCACUCAAAUGCAGGUGAUUCAUUAAGGAUAUUUUAGCUAGUACUUGACAGGAUCAGACAUAACCAAGGCAUACUAUAAUGAAUGCUCGUUAUCAAAGCUGUCAGCUGACUGAGAACAAACUCAGGUAUGCAUAGCAUAGAGAACACAUAUGUACAAGCAGGAAACAAAGGGCUUGUGCAGUUCAGUGCAGCACGGUGAAAUUCUGUCAAAAAAAUCAGUAGUUAAAGGAGGAAGGGCUACACAUAGUGCCAAUCAGUGUGCAAUACCUGCAGUUUGGCAUCUUUUCUUGUGGUGAAACCAUCAAAUUCAGAAUUACUGUCAGCAGUGGCUUUGUUCUCCCCCUUGGUUUUUGCCACACAAGUGAUUCUCAAAUCGCAACAGUAUCUUCAAUCCUUCCUAUAUUUACACAGAAACAUAAGAUUUCAUGCUGAUAAACGUAAUCAUCAAAUAUUCUCAUUUAUAGCAAGACUUGGACUGAGCACAUUCAGCAUGUUCGGGCUGUGCUGGUAGUUCUGCGUGCUAAUGCUCUUUUCCUCAAGAAGUCCAAGUGUGUUUUUGGUGAAGGAAGUGUGGCAUACUUGGGUCAUGUUAUUGGUGCUGAUGGUGUGGCAAUGGACCUGUCUAAGAUAGAGGCAGUACAGGCAUGGCCACUGCCUAAGACUCUUCGGGCGCUUCGGGGGUUUCUUGGCCUCACGGGCUAUUAUAGGAAGUUCAUUGCCAACUAUGGUGUCAUUGCUGCUCCUCUCACUGCCUUGAUGAGGAAGGACGCUUUCCGCUGGUCUCAGGACGCUACAGAUGCGUUCAAUGCCCUCAAGAACGCACUCACCACCGCUCCUGUUCUGCAGCUGCCCGAUUUUGCACAGGAGUUUGUUGUGGACUGUGACGCCUCAGGGACUGGUUUUGGUGCUGUACUUCAUCAAAACGCCGGCCCCAUUGCAUUUUUCAGCAGGACAGUGGCACCGCAGCAUCGUAAGUUGGCGGCCUAUGAGAGAGAACUGAUUGGGCUUGUUCAAGCUGUUAGACAUUGGUGGCCCUAUCUCUGGACUCGGUCUUUUACGGUUCGGACGGAUCAUUUCAGCCUCAAGUAUUUAUUGGAUCAGCGCCUGUCUACCAUUCCGCAACAUACUUGGGUCAGUAAGCUUUUUGGCUAUGUGUUUACAGUGGAGUACCGCCCUGGCAAGCAAAAUCGUGCAGCAGAUGCGCUAUCUCAUCGCGAUGAGGACACAGUGGAAUUACUGGCCCUGUCCAUGUCACGGCCUGAGUUUGAGCUCUUCAAUGACUUCAAGAAGGAAGCUAACACCUUGCCGGAAAUCAUUGCCAAACGCAAGGAAAUCGAUGAAGGUACUGCCGGUGCUGCCUGGACUAUGGUGGACGGAUUUGUUAUGUACAAUGGCCGCAUAUUUGUACCUUCUUCCUCUGGUUUAUGGCCAUAGAUUUUGGAAACAGGACAUGAGGGAGCUCAGAAAACUUUGCAGCGUCUAUGAGCAUCAUUCUACACACCGGGUGCAGCAAAGCUUGUCCGCCAAUUUGUACAAGGUUGUUUGGUCUGUCAGUGCAACAAAACGGAGCACCUCCACCUAGCUGGUUUCCUGCAACCCCUAGAUGUUCCAACAGCCAUCUGGAGUGACAUUGCAAUGGACUUUGUGGAAGGUUUUCCUCGGGUUGGUGGCAAAUCUGUGGUUCUUACAGUUGUCGACCGUUUCUCCAAGAUGGUGCAUUUCAUUCCUUUAGGCCAUCCUUAUACAGCCUUAACUGUGGCUCAGGCUUUCUUUGAUGGCAUUGUCCGUUUACAUGGGCUACCCUGCUCUAUUGUGAGCGAUCGUGAUCCAGUUUUUACCAGCUCCUUGUGGACCGAGCUCUUUUCCCUUGCUGGUGUUAAGUUGCGCCUCAGUUCUGCCUUUCAACCUCAAACAGAUGGACAAUCAGAGGUAACCAACAGAAUUCUAGGCGUCUAUCUGCGUUGUUUGGCUGGGGAUCGUCCACGCAAUUGGCUUAAAUGGUUACCUUCGGCUGAGCACUGCUACAAUACCUCUUUUCAGACUUCUCUACAUACGACACCGUUUCGUGUCGUCUAUGGUCGUGAUCCUCCCACUCUUUUGUCAUAUGAACCAGGUGUGGCUCGUAUGGUGGCCAUAGACAAACAGCUCCAACAACGAGAUGAAUUCUUGUCUGAGAUCCGGGAUCGUCUUUUACAAGCUCAGGAUUACAUGAAGAGAUCUUAUGACAAGACCCAUCGGGAUGUGGAGUUUCAGGUUGGGGAUUGGGCUUGGCUGCGACUCAACCAACGAUCAGCAGUGGGCAUUACUUCUGGGGCUAAUACAAAACUGGCGCCACGCUACUAUGGUCCAUUCCAGGUGAUUGAACGCAUUGGCUCCGUGGCAUAUCGGCUGCUGCUGCCUCUAAGUCCAGAAUUCAUGAUGUCUUCCAUGUGGUGUUCCUUAAGAAGCAUCAUGGGGCACUUCCUGAUGCAACUGUACCCCUACCGGUGGUAUCCCAUGGUCGUGCUGUACCAACUCCUGCUGCUGUUCUGCGUGCUUUACCAAAGGAAUCUCGCGGUGAGUGACGAACGGGAUCUGAAAAUCCAAAAUUUUUCCCCUGUUUCCGCUCCACUGGCGGCCCCUCCGGCGAUUCCCUACGACGGCGAGGUCCAUCUCGUCGAGGACAAGCUCCUCGCGGCGCUCGAUGACGGCGGUGAUUGGGACCUGAAGCGCUGGGUCCUAAACACCGGCGCAUCCAACCAUAUGACGGGCGUGCGCGCGGCAUUCUCCAACCUUGACGCCGGCGUCACCGGCACCGUCUGCUUCGGGGAUGGAUCCGUCACCAACAUCGAAGGGAUCGGCACCAUCCUACUCGCCUGCAAGAACGGCGAGCAUCGACCCCUCGCCAACGUCUACUACCUCCCUCGACUCACCGCCAACAUCGUCUCCGUCGGGCAGCUCAACGUGAACGGCUACCAGGUACUUAUCGAGGAUGGUGCGAUGCGGGUGCGGGAUGAAGAACGGAGGCUGCUCGCCAAGAUCCAUCGAAGUCCAGGCCGGCUCUACGUGCUCGAUAUCGACAUCGCACGGCCGGUCUGCCUCGCCGCACGCGGAGAAGAAGAGGCGUGGGUGUGGCAUGCCAGAUUCGGCCACAUCCACUUCGCCGCCCUGCGCAGGAUGGCAAGGGACAGCCUUGUUCGUGGGCUGCCACAGCUGACUCAGGUGGAGCAGCUCUGCGACGCCUGCCUCGCCGGCAAGCAUCGAAGGGCGUCGUUCCCACAGCGCGCACUGGGACGAUCUACGGAGGUGCUGCAGCUACUCCACGGCGACAUCUGUGGCCCUAUCUCGCCCCCAACACCGAGUGGCAAUCGGUAUUUCCUCCUGCUUGUCGACGAUUUCUUGCGUAUGUGGCUCUGCCUCCUACCCAGCAAGGACGCCACUGCAACGGCGAUCAAGCGUGUCCAGGCUGCCGCCGAGCGGAAGAGUGGCAGGAAGCUACUGGUGCUACGCACCGAUCGCGGCGGUGAGUUCGCUGCCAAGGACUUCGUCGAGUACUGCGCCGAGCUCGGUGUUCACCGUCAACUCACGGCGCCUUACACGCCUCAGCAAAAUGGGGUCGUGGAGCGGCGGAACCAGACCGUGGUCGGCACGGCGCGCAGCAUGCUCAAGGCAAAGCACCUCCCCGGCGAGUUCUGGGGCGAGGCGGUCACCACUGCUGUGUACCUGCUCAACCGCUCAUCGUCGAAGAGCAUCGGAGGCGAGAUCCCGUACAAGCUCUGGACCGGCAACGCCCCGAACGUUCAACACCUGCGCACGUUCGGGUGUGUCGCGAACAUGAAGGUGACCACGCCGCACCUGAAGAAAUUAGAUGACCGGAGCAGGCGCAUCAUCUUUGUCGGCUACGAGCCCGGGUCCAAGGCCUAUCGCCUGUACGAUCCGGAGGCGCGACGCGUCCACAUCAGCCGCGACGUUGUGUUCCAGGAACAGGAGGAGUGGCGCUGGGGCGAGGAGCAGCGCACCGCGGCCAACGACUUCACCGUCGAACACAUGGAGCCACCUACCGUCACCACCACUACGACGGCGAUAAGCAUGCGUGAAGCCUCCGCCAGUACACCGCCAGCGUCAUCGAGCCGAUCUUCGGUACCGCCACAUCAACAAUGUGCUCGGCCCGGCCACGCCGCCGGGGCUCGCAGCGCGUGAGCUGGAGGAGCAGCUGAUGUUCACCAGCGAAGCUGAACCCACAUCAUUCAGGGAGGCGAUGGAGCAUGAGAACUGGUGACUAGCAAUGCUCGAUGAGUUCACUUCAAUUGAGGACAACAACACCUGGGUACUCACUGAUCCACCAGCAGGAGUGAAACCAAUUGGGGUCAAGUGGGUGUACAAAACAAAGCGUGAUGAAUCCGGGAUCGUCACCAAGUACAAGGCCAGGCUCGUCGCAAAGGGGUAUGUACAACGACAUGGUAUUGAUUUCGAUGAAGUGUUUGCACCUGUUGCUCGACUUGAGUCAGUUCGACUUCUACUGGCACAUGCUGCUGGUGAGGGCUGGGCAGUACAUCACAUGGAUGUGAAGUCUGCAUUUCUGAAUGGCAAGUUGCUGGAGGAUGUUUAUGUUGAGCAGCCACCAGGAUUUGUGGUGAAGAGGCAGGAACACAAGGUACUGCAUCUAGUGAAGGCACUCUAUGGACUUCGACAAGCACCACGGGCAUGGUAUUCCAAGUUAGAUGAGUCACUCCUCAAGCUUGGGUUCUGCAGAAGCAAGUCUGAACAUGCAGUUUACAUGCGUGGCAUUGGAGCAAGGCGUCUCAUUGUGGGUGUGUAUGUAGAUGAUCUUGUGAUCACAGGAGCUGAUGAGUCUGACAUCGACAAGUUCAAGUCAGAGAUGAAGCACACCUUUCAAAUGAGUGAUUUGGGUCUGCUCAAGUAUUACCUCGGGUUGGAGGUACACCAAGGUGAGGAAGGGAUCACUGUGUGCCAAAGAGCCUAUGCUGCAAAGAUCCUAGAGAGUGCAGGACUAACAGGAUGCAACAUCAGUCACACACCAAUGGAGCCAAGGCUAAAAUUGAGCAAGGAUAGCACUGCACUAGCUGUUGAUGCAACUCAAUACAGGUCAAUUGUUGGCUCACUCAGAUACCUAGUGAAUUCAAGGCCAGAUAUAGCCUAUUCAGUUGGUUUUGUCAGUAGAUUCAUGGAGAGCCCCACAACUGAACAUCUACUGACAGUAAAGAGAGUGUUGCGCUAUGUAGCUGGCACACUCCAUUUUGGCUGCCAUUACAUAAGGGAGAAGGGGACAGAGCUGGAGGGAUAUAGUGAUAGUGAUCUAGCAGGAGACAUUGACACUAGAAAGAGCACUUCCGGCAUCUUAUUCUUCCUUGGCAAGAACCUGAUCACCUGGCAAUCUCAGAAACAAAAGGUAGUUGCUCUUUCUUCAUGUGAAGCUGAGUAUAUGGCUGCAACUACUGCUGUUUGUCAGGGAAUUUGGUUGGCACGUCUGCUGGCUGAACUGAGAGGCAGCAGACCCAGUGUUUUCAAACUCAAGAUCGACAGUCAGUCAGCCCUCCAGUUGAGUAAGAAUCCUGUUUUCCAUGAUCGUAGUAAGCACAUUGAUACAAGAUUUCACUCUAUCCGUGAUUGCAUCGAGGAGAAGAGGGUUGACAUUGAUUUGGUGGGGACAAAGCAUCAGUUGGCUGACAUUUUAACCAAAGCCUUAGGACGGGAGCAGUUCUGUGAACUUCGUUCAAGGAUUGGUGUAGUCAAUGUUCAGAGUAUGCGCAAGGCUUAGGAGGAGAUCUGUUAGUAAUCCUAGCGCAUGACUCGGUUAGUUAGUUAGCUCUGCAUGUUUCCUUUGCUGCAUUGCAUACGCACGAGCACCAAGCUGUGGCUGCCGUGCGCGUAGAAAAGAGUGGCGAGAAUAGCUCGUGCACGAACCGAGGAUGACCGGUGAUUCAGCGGCAUCGUGGGCACGGGGAUGGACGUGCUCGCUGCGCGGUGUGCGACUGGCCACCGAGUGGACCUGUUCGCGGUAUUCGCAGAAUAAAAGGAAGAACGCUCGGAAAAGCUGUAGUCAGAAGUGCAGCACCAAAAUCUUCGAGUUUCCAAGUGCUCUUGUGUUUGUGUGCGUUCUGUGUCCUCAAGCAAUAGUCAUCGCGAGCUCGCCGGGCGUCAAGCACACCGGUUCGAAGCUAACAGACGCAUCACGGCCACGACGCCAUUGGCAGUAGGUUUAUCUGGGUUUAUAUAAGUUCUAUGCUGUCAUGGAAUCCUGAUGCAUGCACUCCAAUGCAUGUCUAAUGCUUUCGUUCUCUAUGCAUGCAUGCACGCGUGCAGAGUCGUUGACGGCGACAGAAACUGCAUCGUCGUCGUCACCGAGAGAUCCGGCAGCCGAUGAGCUGGGAAUAAUGCCCAGCAACUUCACGUCGUCACCCAGGGAAUCCUCACCCAGGGGAGCGGCACACGCACACCCGCGCCAGGAAAAGAACCACGUCGUGCGCCAAAAAUUGCAUUUGCGAGCACGGGGGUCCAAACCCUGCCAAACCGCGUGGGUCACCUCACCCCGGGAACUUGGCCCGCGUCUCGCUCUCCCUUCCGUCGCUCCGCUCCCGAACAAGACGGCGCCUCUCCCUCGCGGUGCUGCGGCGGCGAGUGCGACGAGAUCCAGGUGUGCGCCUCGCCACCUCCUCCAGCUCCCCUUCCCUAGCUAUCUCCACCUCAUCCCCUUCUCCUACUCAUCCUCGUUUUUCCAGCCUUGUUGAGUCAGUCCAGGUCCCCGGCCGCCUCCUUCUACUCUCUCCGACCAAGAGAAGGCGCGACGAGGACGAGGACACAGGGGACGACCACAUCCUGGAGCCAGCCAACAUAAGCUUCACUCGUGCCUUCUGCUCCAACUAUUCUCGGUGAGUAACCCCCUCUCUCUUUCUCUAACAAUCUCGAAUCUGGUGUGAUUUCUUCUUGGAUCUGUGUUACUCGUCUAUUACCUGAACAUGUGUGCAUGCUCGUUUAGGCUUAGUUCUCAGGCAUAUGGCUGCUACUGCUAUAAUAUCCAUUACUUAGCUCUCAGGUUCUGCUAUCUGAAAUAUAAAGUUGAAAACAUACCUCAUUACAGGACAUGUCAAGGCAAGUUUGUCAGUUAUUUUAUAAAACUCGAACAAUUCUAGGAUAGUUCUUGCUUCUAUCCAGUGAACUUGGAAAUCUAUACAGUGUCAGCGUUCAUGAAUUCAGUAUGCACUUGUCCUCAGUGCUCCAAGAUAAUGUGGGAUUCUUGCAUCUUCAUGGGCAUUUAUUAAUCAAGGUUAUAGAUUGUGCAAUACUCCAGCUCUACAGUUGUUUUCGUUAACUGCUCUCCUGAAAUGAACUUUAUGUAUAACUCAUCAAUUUGCUAGUCACAUACUACUGAAAGUCUCCACAAUAUGAAACUUGUUAUCCGGGAGACAUAACUAUAAAAACUUAUGCCGGCAGAAAUGGUACAUGCUGGUAUAUUUGGAAUUGCUGAAAUCCCUCAGACAACUACUGAUGUCCACCAAAAGAUAACUAUCUUAGCUUGUGUCAGUCGAACGUCUGGUUAGCUCGAUCAACAUGAAUUCAUUCUCACAGUUUUCUUAAGGUCUUAGAUGCUGUCAUGCCAAAAAACGGAGCUCUGAGCAACAAGAUGACUUGAUGUCAAUAAAAGCCUAAGAGCUAUUAUGAUAACAUGUCCAUCUAAAAUUUCCACCAGCUGCAUCUUUCAAAAUACGAGGCUUUUUAGGAAUUGAGCUCUUCAUCUCGAAUUUGAUAACAUAUCACAUCCAUGCAACUGCGAUAUGUCCCUAAAUACUAUCAUCAUCUGUUUAAUAUGGCUGAUGAAAAAAGUGGUAUACCAAUUGCUCUUUACUUUCUGUCCAAGGUUGCUUUGAUUCUUUUGUUGGAUAGUUUCUUGUUCAGUCAGGGUUUCAGCUCUUGCACUAAGACUGCUGUCAUUGACUGCUGUCAUUGACUGGAGAUGUUUCACGGUAUUUGUUUCCAUAGCCAUUUUGAUCACAUAAAGGCAGCAAGAAGGAAUUGUCUUCCCCACUCGCCUAUGCUUUCUUUCAUAUAUCUGUAAGAUUUAAUUCUGAUUUCAUGCUGUCAUAUAUUACUUAUUGUGUUGCAAACCCGAUAGCCAUCUUUCCAUUCUUUUCUCCUGCUUCAUACUAUUGAACAAAACUUUCUCCACUGAUGCUUUCCUUUUGUUUGUGUUCUUAAUUACUUUCACCAUCUGGCUGUUUUGCUUGCAUUUGUAGGUAGUCUAGUUUUCAUUUCAUUAAAGCUUGUUUGCAGCUUCUUUUCAUAACACACAAUUUGUUCAUUUGUUAGAUGGCUGCAGGCAUCUAGGAUUUGAGGGUUGAAGAUGGCAAAUGACUACUCUCCAUGAGGAAGUUCGUUCUUUUUUUUUAAUAUAUGGACCUGUCUGCACAAUAGCAUGUAGUAUUGUUGAUUUCAAGAUCCAAGACGAUGAUUUUUGUAUUUGUAAUGAGCAAAUUAAACUAUUUUGCAAUUGUAUGCAUUAUGUGCAUAAAUAGUACGUCUUGGGAAAUUCGCUAUCAGGUUUAGACCAUGCAUAGCUCUCUCCUCUCUUCUUAGGCAUUCACAUUAGGAUUACAUAUGGACAUGCACGUGUGAGUUUUCUUGAGCAUUUGCACUCAAUCUCCAGGGCUUUUAGUGUAGAGCAGCAGACUACAGUGCUUCGCAGUUCAUACUAUACUACUAAACCUGGCCAACAUCAAUUGCAGUUGACUGGCUUGAGUUGUGUUAUGUUGCCACUUGCCUACUUCACUUGUAUGCAAGUGACUCGCUUCAGGUGCAAGUGACUCGCUUCAGGUGCAACAAAACGAGGAGAGGUCGAAUUUAGCUCUAAUGAGGUAUUUAUAAUUCGACACAAAUUCUUAUCACCCUACUACAAGAUACACUUCGUUCAGUCAUUUAAACCUAUAUAAGUCUAAGAGGGUGUUUGGUUCUUUAGUUCGGAUUAAAAUUUAUAUCACAUCGAUAUGUUGCCACUUGCCUACUUCACUUGUAUGCAAGUGACUCGCUUCAGCCACAACAAAAAGAGGAGGUCCAAUUUAGCUCUAAUGAGGUAUUUAUAAUUCGGCACAAAUUCUUAUCACCCUACUACAAGAUACACUUCGUUCAGUCAUUUAAACCUAUAUAAGUCUAGGGGGUGUUUGGUUCUUUAGUUCGGAUUAAAAUUUAUAUCACAUCGAAUAUUCGGACGUUAAUUAGGAGGGCUAAACAUGAGUUAAUUAUAAAACUAAUUACAUAGAUGGAGGCUAAUUCAUUAAGCCUAAUUAAUCCAUCAUUAGCACAUGUUUAUUGUAGCACCAUAUUGCCAAAUCAUGGACUAAUUAGGCUUAAUAGCUUCAUCUCGCAAAUUAGUCUCCAUCUAUACAAUUGGUUUUGUAAUUAGUCUAUGUUUAAUACUCCUAACUAAACAUGUGAGCCUCAUGUUCAUUGAUUCCUCAUUGAAAUCUGUUGUAACUUAUAAUUGUGAUUUUAGACGAGUACUAUAGACAACAAUUAAAAACAUGUUUCUGCAACAAAAACAAGCUCCUUGCAACAAACAUGUACUUUCAAUGUACUCAUAAUGAUGUUUGAGUCAUUAGUGCUCAUAAAAGACAAUGUCGUUUCAUUGAGAAAGGUACCAAGUAACCAUUAAAAACGAAGCAGAAGUACACUCUUUCAGUGCAUUUCACUAUGGAUCUGCAUUUCACUAUGGAUCCUGAUCAUUUAAUUUCUGUUUAUGUCUUCAAAUCUAACAUUUAUAUGUCUCUACUAUUAGAAACCAAAAUCACUCUUUGUAUUAGAGUGCGCAGCAGAAUCCGGUCCGGCCCGUUAUACCCACAGACGGCGUCCCACUAGGUCCAAGUCCACCAGAGCCUGCAAUAACGAAGACUUGCGCCUAACUCAACUCAAAAGACGAUGGACGAGGACUGCCCCCAUCAAUAUGCUGUGCUCCCCCACCAUCAAUUUCUGAUGUAGGACUAAAUCUAACAAUUCGAAGUACAGGCACCUUUGUGCCUUUCAGUUUCCCAUACGCACGGGCAGAUGGAAGAACGAAGAAUAGCAGACAUUGCUACAGCCGCGAGUGGAGGUAAACCGGCUCAAACGGCGUUCACCACAUUUGCACCAUGGUUCCCUAGCACAGGACCGCGACCAGAAGAAGGCCACUCGACAUAAGCAGAGGAGGAAGAACAGAGGUGGAAGGCAGCAAGGAAGUUAUAGCUUGACCCUUUUCCUUAAUCCUUACCGUAGGGGACGACACGGCCUUGCCUGUUGCAGCCUGACACCGCGCCACGGCGCCCGCCACGUUCGCCCAGCGGGUCCGCCACCUCGUGCUUGCGACCGCCAGUCGACUGCCCACGCUGCACAUGCCGGUUCCGCCGAUCCCAUGCCAGCGGAUGUCGUGGACGUGCUUACACCAAAGCGGUGGUCGCAAAAGGCAGCGCAUCCGAGGCUUAGGCCACUCGUGGUCGUGGAUCUCUCCUUGCCUCUUCCGGGACACAGAGGAGGCAGGCGCGCAGGCAGCGGGUGGCAAGUCCGUUCGGUGGGAAGCCGAUCGAGGAUGCUAAUACUCAUCUCAACACUUUCUUAGCCUUUGUGACACCAUCACAAUGCACGGAGUCACCGGAGAUGCCAUCAGGCUCUGCAUGUUAUUAAGAGAUGGCCCCGCCAUCUACUGAAAUACCCCAAUGAUUACAAAGAAAACAACUGUUGUCUUAAGCUCUCCUGUCCCUGAUGCAAGCCAAGAUAAGUUUCGAAUGUUCGGUACAAUAUCCUUGGUGUUCUGCUAAUUGUGGUUAGCCCUUUUCUUUCUUUUACCAAAAAGGCUUGCUGUGGAUUUCAUUUUCAUAUCAUAAUUAUAAAACAGGUUGAGUUUAAAACGAAAAAAAUGUGGAAUCUGAUUAUCUGGGCAGCACCCAAACGAAUGGCGCAGCCAGCAGCGAGGCGGAAAAAGGAAGGCGUGUUUGAUGUGCUAUACAUGACAACAGAAAAGGCCAUUUCACUUCCUUCAAGGCGAAAACUUUGAACUGACGGCUUGAGAGGAAUAUACUAUUUCUAGCGCUAAAUCUGAUGCAAUUUCAUAACCGAUCUUAAGCAAUCUACAAACAAAGCAGGAUGAUUUGAGCACUGAACAGUCAGAUGUUCAAAAUGAAAUCAAUGAACAAUAUAAGCUGCUCUGGAAACAUACAAAACCACGACUGAUAUUCAACAAAACAUCAUUAUACUGUAGCCAUGAUUUUACUUAGAAGACAUACAUGAACUGCUUGGAUGUGCUUGUAAGUUUUAGUGCAAUCCUUUCGAGUCUAAAGCUAUUUCAACUGACUGUUUUCAUGGCCAACCACCUGCACUCGUUCUGAGAACACAAAUUCAGAUUCAGAAUGAAACGCGUGUAAUGGUAGAUCAAACAAGAUGUUGGAACAUCACCUGGUAAAAGAAAUUGAUUAAAAUCAUAACAAGGUUGAGGCAUUUCUAUACUAGAGUCAAGCGUGUAUUGAAGCACCUCCCUGCAUACUUAAUAGGCUUGCUGUAUAAACUGUGGUUACCCUACAAAAAAUUGUAAAAACCGAUGCAUGGAUUCCAUAUUGUUGUCAAGGACUCUACACAUGAAAGCAGGAUUCACACAAUCACAGUUGAUAUUACACAUUAAGCUAAAACAUAGAAAAGCAACACAGAAACACCCGAGUGAAAAGGGUUUGUAGAAUCACCAGUUAUGAUUACACAUUAAUUUCAAACAUAGAAAAGCACACAUUAACACCUUAGUGAAUGCAUAGCAAGGGGUCCUCAUUAUAGAAGUUUGGGAGUACAGUAAAUUAAAUAAAACACAGAAAAGAAACAUUCACCUUAUUGAAAACAUAGAAACUCAUCAUCAUGACAUGAUUUU